GAUAUUAUACCUAUCAUGAGGACAAUCUUUAUUGACAAUAAAUAAAUAAAUCAUUUAGUCAUAUUUUUUUUAAGGGCGGCUUAGCUCUAUGAUUCGCUAAUUUUUUAUUUUUAUUUUGAUAUUUUCGAUUCGUAGAAUGAAGGGAGUGUAUAUAUAACUAGGGUGUAACUCCAAUUUUCUAAUUUGUAACAAAAGAGAAAGAUAGAGUAGAGUUCGAAAACUAUUCUAAGAGAAAUUUGAUAGGCUCCUCUAAAUAGAAUGUGCACCACUUUCCUCUGCAACAAAUUAUGUUGGCUUCAAACCUUACUCGAUCUAAUAUAUUCAAAAUUUUAUUCGACUAUUUAAUUAUGUCCACAUUUUUAAAGUCAUACAAAAAUUACUUAACUAGCAUGAUUUUCAUUUCCACGAUCGCUUCUCCUUCUUCAUAAUCCUCCUUCUCCGAUCAACAUAACUUGUGAAUAAGAUAAAUUUGUCAAUUCAAUAUGACUUGUAAAUAAUAUAAAGAGACAUAAAAUGAAGACUAUACACCCUAAAAGUCAGAGUACUUACUUGUCAGCUGAGAUCAAAUUUGAAUAUCUAUUUAUGUAGUAUUAUGUAUUUAUUAACUUCUAAUAUUAUAAAACUUUGUUCAAACAAUAAUAACAUGAAAAUAGCAUAUAUUGGUUUUCAUGUGGAAAAUGAGUGUAAAUGAAUGGUCCCAAGAAACAUGUCAUAAUCAAAGUCUUAGUGACAUUAUAUUAUUCCCUCUAUUUUCUUCUUUACACUAUUUAACUGCUUAUGAUCAUUUGCCACUAAGAAAAUAGUGAAAUUAAAGAAGCUAUGCUCAAGAAUUGUUAUGAAUAUUAUACCAUCCACAUAAUAUUAUAAUUGUACUAUAGCUUAUAAACAAAAGGACUACUAAAAGUAGGUAACAACUAUGCAUAUUUUGAGGCUUUUUGAUGAAAGGAGAGAUGACAUUGUCAAUGUCACCUAGUGGCUUUUUAGAAGUCCCGAGUUCGAGCUUUGUAAUAGUCAAUUUUGAUAGAGACACUAAGAUUCAAGAUUUGAACUCUAUGAGUUUUUACACAUGAACGACUUCUUGGCGUGAAUUUGGCACGUCUAUGCACUUCAAACAUGCAGUGAAAGUUUCUUAUCGUCAAAGUUGAGGCAAAAGCAAUUGAAUUCAAUUCAACUACAUAUACUUGAAAUUCACGCAAAAUUGGCUGAACUUCAAACAUAUGUACCUAAAUUUCAACCACAUGAAACUUCCGCUACACUUCAGUUAUGACAUAAUUAAAUAGUAGUCCCAAAAUCAGGUAUUUGUACAUAUCGUCCCAAAAACAACAACGAAAUAAGUCCAAUGUCAUUCUAUAGGCCCAAAAGUACUAGGCCCAACAAUUUCAUCAACUUUUCAUGUCCCUCUUUAAAGCCCAAUAGAAAAUAGAACCAUAAAGGUUUUGUUUGGUUGAUGAACAUGUUAUCCGAGGACUGUUAACGCAUCACACCCUCAAUGUGGGAUAAAAACAAUAGUACAAUCUUAGAAUAACUUAUCUCGCAAUUCUAUCCCAACCAUUCAUGGUAUAAACUCAUCCUAAAUUUAAUCCCGAGAUUGAGUAUCCCUCGUCCAUCUUACCAAACGAUUCCUAAGUACCUACGCCCAACAAUUUCAUCAACAAAAGGCCCAAUAAUGAGCUAAAGCCAAUAACAUUUUGUAGGCCCAUAAAUCCUGGCAUGUCUACACACUUCUGAAUAACUUCAGACAUGCAGUAGAAGUUUCUUAUCGCCCAUAAAUCCCGGAAAAAAUGAUUGAAUUCAAACCACAUAUGAUUAAACUUCAAGCGAAGUUGGCUGAACUUCAACCAUUUGAAACUUUCGACACUGCAUGUCUGAAGUUGUUCCUAAAUAUAUUACAUGUAUGACUUAAAUGGUGACUCCAAACUUGGGUGUCUAUACACUUGGGCCCAAAAAAGGAGCUAAGCCCAAUAACAUUCUUUAGGCCCAAAAGUACCAGGCCCACCAGAUCUUCAUUUCCCUCUUUAAGGCCCAAUAACAUUCUGUAGGCCCAUAAAUAUUAGGCCCAAUAACAGUUCUUCAUUUCCCUCUUUAAAGACUCCCAACAGACAACUACUAGCUAUUACUACUACUGUUAAUGCUGACACCAAUUUUGUUUUCUUUAAAAGGAUAGCAAAAAAAAAAAACCCAAAACCCCUUUGUACCCAAAAUUCUACUUUGUCACUUCAAGGUAUUCAUAGCUUUCUCUUUUCUUUUUAAUACUGUAAUUCAAAUGUGAUUCAAGUUUCAGUGUUUACUAUUUUGUGUUUUUUGUGGGGGGUUUGUUUUCUUGAAAUUGUGUUUAGUUUUGGCUACAUUUUGCUAUAAAACAUUAGCUUAAAUUGUGUGUUAUGUUUAAAGUUUUGAUCUUUGAGUUUGAGGUUUUUGUUUUUGUGGGUGUUGGAUUCUUGAAAUUAUGCUUAUUUUUGUCUACAUUUGCUAUUAACAUUAGCCUAAAUUGUGUGUUAUGUUUAAAGUUUUUAUCUUUGAGUUUGAGGUUUUUGUUUUUGUGGGUGUUGGAUUCUUGAAAUUAUGCUUAUUUUUGGCUACAUUGCAAUAAACACUUAGCCUAAAUUGUGUGUUAUGUGUAAAGUUAUCACCUUUGAGUUUGAGGGUUUAACUCUAUAGGUUUGUUUUGGAUGAGACACUUUCUUUUUGCUGUUUAUCUUUUUGUUGGUAUUUUUUUUCUUGAAAUCAUGCUUAUUUUUGGCUACAUUUGCUAUAAACAUCAGCCUAAAUUAUGUGUUAUGUUUAAAGUUUUGAUCUUUGAGUUUGAGGGUUUAACUCUAUAGGUUUGUUUUGGAUGAGACACUUUCUUUUUGCUGUUUAUCUUUUUGUUGGUAUUUUUUUUCUUGAAAUCAUGCUUAUUUUUGGCUACAUUUGCUAUAAACAUCAGCCUAAAUUAUGUGUUAUGUUUAAAGUUUUGAUCUUUGAGUUUGAGGUUUUUCUUUAUCUGGAUGUUUGUUUCUUGAGAUUAUGCUUUAUUUUGGCUAUAGUUGCAAUAAACAUUAGCCUAAAUUGUGUGAUAUGUAUAAAGUUCUCAUCUUUGAGUUUGAGGGUUUAACUGUAUAGUUGUUAUGAGUUUGCUAUGGAUGAGACACUUGUUUUUUCUUUUUAAUAAUACAAAUGUGAUUCAAAAGUUUCAGCUUUUUACUGCUCAUCUUUUUUCCAGGUAUUGGUUUCUUGAAAUUAUACUUAUUUUUUGCUACAUUUGCAAUAAACAUCAGCCUAAAUUGUGUGUUAUGUAUAAAGUUUUGAUCUUUGAGGAAAAGUGCAAUCUGCUUUCAUGCUGUUCAUCUUUUUUCGAUCAGUUUCUUUGAAAAACCUGCAUACCAUUUGUAUAUUCCCGAAUGUACUUAUUGAAAUAAGGUUUUUGGAUUUCUGAAUGUUCCUGUUUUAAUUUGAAAUCAUUCUCAGGUUACAGUUUCUCUGCAAAUUUUUCUAUAGAAAUGGCAGCAUCUGCAGCUUCAAGCUUUCAAAUAACAAUAGCUAGGCCAUCCGUACUCUCUACUAGAAGAAUUUCCAGUUUCUGCUCAACAAAGUUUGGUGGUGAAACUCAAAAACUGUCCUGUAACAGACUUGCCAGUAGUUGUCAUGUUUCAUCCAUUCAACAUUUUUGGCGCAGUUUCACAUCUACGACUCAAAAGUUACAGAAAGUUGUCACCAAGGCAAAAUCAGAAGCUGAUGAUAGCAAGCCUGCCUCUGUGUUGCCGAUUGAUUUGAGAGGUUAGGUUCUUCUGAUGGUGUUCUUAAGCUUUUCUCCUGUGCACUUUAAGAUCCUGAGGAAUGAGCGGAAGAGAUGGUGGAUGUCAACAGAUCUUCUUCCUCUCCCUUUUAAACUUUUUGAUUUCCCCUCAUUUCCUGCGCGAGUCAAGGAAAGCGAAUAUGUAAUCACAAAUAGAGAAACAAUGUUGGAAACAUUUACAGUGCAUAAUAUCCUUUUAGAAUUCCUAUCUUCUUUGGGUUACGACUUAACUAUAAAUGCAUGAUGAACUACUGUGUAUUUGUGAACAAAAAGUAACAGUAGAGAGGAUGCUUGUCGUUUUGACUGGCAUUUGAAACAUUAUCUGCCAAAGUGGAGUUUUUGACAGCAAACACUGUGAUAGCACAUUAAUUGCUGCUGGAACUCGGACGAGAGAUGGAGUGUGUAAUGUAACCGACAGAGAUUUGCAAUCUCAUUCAUGACAUAUAUUUUUAUGAUAUAUAACUUUCUUUCAUCUAUUUGUUAAUAUGUUUUAAUUUGGUAUUUCUGUUCGUGUAGCCCUCUUCCUUUUGAGAAAACUGUAAAUGCUGUUUGCAGGAAAAAGGGCUUUUAUAGCUGGUAUAGCUGAUGAUAAUGGAUAUGGGUGGGCUAUUGCUAAGUCCCUGGCUGCUGCAGGUGCCGAAAUUCUAGUUGGAACCUGGGUGCCAGUAAGUGAAAUUUACAAUUCGUUUGAACUCUCAGUUUAUCUUCAAACCUUUUGAUGUUUUUGCAUUUCUUUACAGGCCUUAAACAUUUUUGAAACAAGUCUUCGACGUGGGAAAUUUGAUGAAUCACGCGUGUUAGAGUCUAAACUUGUGUUUCUUUUGUACCACUACAAAAAUGGCUUUAUGACUAACCUCCUGCUAAAUACAUCUUUGUCAGUUUGCCAGAUGGCUCUUUGAUGGAGAUUACUAAAGUAUACCCCCUCGAUGCUGUUUUUGAUAGUCUUGAGGAUGUACCUGAAGAUGUAAUUUCAAAUCCUAUGGUUGUGUGAAAUUUUUUAUUGUGUUUCAUUUGCAUUUUCCUAAUACUAGUUUUUUCUCACCAUGCAGAUAAAAACAAAUAAGCGUUAUGCUGGUUCUUCUAAGUGGACAGUCUCGGUAUGUAGUUCUCCCCGUUCACACUUCUUUGUGCAUGCUGAACACAAUGAGUAAUUGCCAGAAAGUAAAAUAUGUAAAACAUGCAUCGUGAUUGUUCUUGAGGUUCCUUUUCGGGGCUUGAUUCUGCAUACUGAAAGCAAUUGAAUCAACAUUUCUUAAAAGUCUCAUGUAUCAAUAGUAUCUAUCAUAUUUUCCUUAAUCUUCAAAUUCUGCUUGUACUUGAAACUGUAGGCAUUCUUCAUCCCCCACCCCCACCUCCUUUUAAGAAACUACAGGCAUUCAUGAUGGAAAUAUGCGCAACAUGAUGUGCAUGGCUGUCGAGUGAACUGAUAGGCGACCAAUAAUAUCAAUUUACCUCAAUUUAAGUGUUCCAAGUUCGUGUUUCUAUUGCUUUUUUCUCAAGUAUACACCGAACUUCUACUAAUGGUUGUGCUGCCUCACCCACCUUCUGCAGCGCCAUGGUUGUUAGUUAUUACUCCCUCCUCAAUUUGUUGGUCUUACAUUCCUUUUUAGUCCAUUUAAAAAAUAAUUCUCUUUCGCUUUUUUGACAACUCUUUAAUUCUAACUUUCCACAUGUCAUGUUUAAGACCACAAGAUUAAAGGGCAUUUGGUAUGUUCUACGUAUCUUUAGUUUAAGACCACAAGGUUCAAAAGUCUUCUUUACUUUCUUAAACUCCGUGUCAGGUUGAAACUAGGCAAACAAAUUGAUACGGAAGGAGUAUCAUACAUGCAUAAAGCAAAUUAUAGUUAUCCACUUUUCUUAUCUCUGCUGCAGUUAUUCUUUUGUUUGUGUUGGCUAUCAUAUUAGGCUUGUAUCAGGACGUCUUCUCUCCCUGAUAUUAAUUUUUCGACCUCUGACGUUUGUAUCAGUGUUGCAUUUUCUCCACACCUGAUUUCUCUUGUUUAUAGGAAGUUGCAGAAUCUGUGAAGGAGGAUUUUGGCAGCAUCGACAUUCUUGUCCAUUCACUUGCCAAUGGGCCAGAGGUAUCAUCUUUCGAAAUUGUAAACCAGUGUUUCUUCAUCGGUGAUCCUUUUUCAUGAAAUCAUUCAACCAUUAGGUGACUAAACCUCUUUUGGAGACAUCAAGGAGAGGAUACCUUGCAGCAAUAUCAGCAUCAAGUUAUUCCUAUGUAUCUUUGCUAAAGCAUUUCCUUCCAAUUAUGAACCCAGGCAUGCAUCUAGUUUUCCAUCUUAUUACCCCUUGUUUGUCGAUUUUUACAAUUAUGUAAUUUCCCAAAAUAUUCCCUUUGAAAUCAAUAAUGGUUUUAUUACAGGUGGUUCUUCGAUUUCUCUGACCUAUAUUGCGUCGGAGAGGAUCAUUCCAGGGUACACAUUAUUCUUUCCCUUUUCUUGUUUUGUUUUUCGUUAAGAUUUUAUAUUUUAAAUCUGUCCCUAUGAGGAAUCAUCGGUUGAAAUGUGUCAUGUACAGAUAUGGAGGGGGAAUGAGUUCUGCCAAAGCAGCACUUGAGAGUGACACCAGAGUGAGUUGUUCCAUAUUCUCUACCAGUCGAAAAAAGAAAAUCAGACGAAAAGCCAAACGGUUUUCGCCCCUUGAAUCUCUAAUAGCCCUCAUUUUAUUGCAUCUAAUCAUUGAAAGGGAUCAUUCGAAUGAUGUAGGUACUUGCUUUCGAGGCUGGAAGAAAACAGAAAGUUAGGGUGAACACAAUAUCUGCUGGUAUGUUGUCCCUUCAUUGUCUGUUGGAUUGUCCAUAUUUACUAUUAACUGUAAAUCCUAUAAAGUUACUAGUUUAUUCCGCAAGGGUGAUCAGAAAUGUGAUGGUUAUUUUCCCUCUCUGUAACGCCCAUUUGUUAUCAUCUUGUAUACCUAUCUUCCCAUAAAUAAUUGUUUAACUAGUCAAACCGAACGUUUUCUCUUCGAUGUUGGUCACCAUUGUGUGUUAGGUCUUUAAUACAAUUGAAACUUGAUAGUGUUACGUACAUUUCCUGGUACCUAGAUUCUAGUUUCUACAUGAAAACACCUCAACCAAAUUACUCCUCCCGUUUCAAUUCAAGUAUCUUUGUUUGACUUCACAUAAUUGAAGGAAGAAUUUUUAAUCUUGUGGUCUUAAACUUAAGAUGUGUAUAAUGUACUAAAAUGUCCUUUGAAUUUUGUGGUCUUAAACAUGCCGUGUAGAAUGUUAGAAUUAGAGAGUUACCAAACAUAGAAAGAGAAAUUGUUGUUUGGGAUAGACAAAAGGAAAGUAAGACACUUAAAUUGAGUCGGAGGGACUAUCCAACUCACUUUUUCAUGUAAUGUUCCCUUCAUACAAAAUCUUUUAUUGAUAAGAGAAACAUCACUAUCCAGGCCCUUUACGAAGUCGAGCUGCAAAAGCAAUUGGUUUCAUAGAUAUGAUGAUUGACUACUCCAUAGCCAACGCACCUCUGCAGAGAGAAUUAUCAGCAGGUAAAGAUCAUCCACACAAGUUAUUUCUCACUAAAAAUCUCUUCUUUACCGUCUCUUACCUUAUCCUACUUGUCUGUUGUUAAUAUACCUUUCGGGGAAAAAACUUGUCGUAGAUGAAGUAGGGAAUACAGCUGCAUUCCUAGCAUCACCACUCGCUUCAGCAAUUACUGGUGCUGUUAUAUAUGUUGACAAUGGUUUGAAUGCAAUGGGCGUGGGAGUCGACAGUCCUAUAUUUAAAGACCUCAACAUUCCCAAGAGCACGGAAUAGAAGAUAUCGCGUGUUAGACGAGUUUGUAUUUGUGUUUUUUUUUCCACAACAUUCUUAUGGUCAGAGCCAAGAGUUUUCGGCCAUCGGCUUUCGUGAAAUUAUCUACUGCUGUAUGAUUGAUAUUUUUAUAGAGUAAAUAGAAGUAAUGAGUUUCCAGUUAUAAUCAUCUUUCACUAUAAUGUCCCUACCCAUAUUUGCUGAAAUAGAAACCUUAACUCUACUUCUCUUGUGUUGAUAAGUUUGACAAGGCGUCAGCAAAACACUGUUGUCUAUUUAAAGAACGAAAACCCCUUAGCAGCCCGUUGGAGGCUGUGAGUCUGUGACGAGAACAGGGGAUGGCCCUAUGCACACACAACAACACUCGAUCUAUGAAGUUAAGAGUUGAGUUUUUUUGUUGGCUUUCUCAAUUCAUCUCUAUGUUACAUCUCGAGGUGUAAAACAAGUACUUCUAGCUGUUUUGUUUGAAAACCCCUAGCAGCCCGUUUGAGGCUGAGAUGAUCUGUGUUAUAACUCGAGGUGUGUAGCAAGUACUUCUAGCUGUUUUGUUUGAAAACCCCUAGCAGCCCGUUUGAGGCUGAGAUGAUCUGUGUUAUAACUCGAGGUGUGUAGCAAGUACUUCUAGCUGUUUUGUUUGAAAACCCCUAGCAGCCCGUUUGAGGCUGAGAUGAUCUGUGUUAUAACUCGAGGUGUGUAGCAAGUACUUCUAGCUGUUUUGUUUGAAAACCCCUAGCAGCCCGUUUGAGGCUGAGAUGAUCUGUGUUAUAACUCGAGGUGUGUAGCAAGUACUUCUAGCUGUUUUGUUUGAAAACCCCUAGCAGCCCGUUUGAGGCUGAGAUGAUCUGUGUUAUAACUCGAGGUGUGUAGCAAGUACUUCUAGCUGUUUUGUUUGAAAACCCCUAGCAGCCCGUUUGAGGCUGAGAUGAUCUGUGUUAUAACUCGAGGUGUGUAGCAAGUACUUCUAGCUGUUUUGUUUGAAAACCCCUAGCAGCCCGUUUGAGGCUGAGAUGAUCUGUGUUAUAACUCGAGGUGUGUAGCAAGUACUUCUAGCUGUUUUGUUUGAAAACCCCUAGCAGCCCGUUUGAGGCUGAGAUGAUCUGUGUUAUAACUCGAGGUGUGUAGCAAGUACUUCUAGCUGUUUUGUUUGAAAACCCCUAGCAGCCCGUUUGAGGCUGAGAUGAUCUGUGUUAUAACUCGAGGUGUGUAGCAAGUACUUCUAGCUGUUUUGUUUGAAAACCCCUAGCAGCCCGUUUGAGGCUGAGAUGAUCUGUGUUAUAACUCGAGGUGUGUAGCAAGUACUUCUAGCUGUUUUGUUUGAAAACCCCUAGCAGCCCGUUUGAGGCUGAGAUGAUCUGUGUUAUAACUCGAGGUGUGUAGCAAGUACUUCUAGCUGUUUUGUUUGAAAACCCCUAGCAGCCCGUUUGAGGCUGAGAUGAUCUGUGUUAUAACUCGAGGUGUGUAGCAAGUACUUCUAGCUGUUUUGUUUGAAAACCCCUAGCAGCCCGUUUGAGGCUGAGAUGAUCUGUGUUAUAACUCGAGGUGUGUAGCAAGUACUUCUAGCUGUUUUGUUUGAAAACCCCUAGCAGCCCGUUUGAGGCUGAGAUGAUCUGUGUUAUAACUCGAGGUGUGUAGCAAGUACUUCUAGCUGUUUUGUUUGAAAACCCCUAGCAGCCCGUUUGAGGCUGAGAUGAUCUGUGUUAUAACUCGAGGUGUGUAGCAAGUACUUCUAGCUGUUUUGUUUGAAAACCCCUAGCAGCCCGUUUGAGGCUGAGAUGAUCUGUGUUAUAACUCGAGGUGUGUAGCAAGUACUUCUAGCUGUUUUGUUUGAAAACCCCUAGCAGCCCGUUUGAGGCUGAGAUGAUCUGUGUUAUAACUCGAGGUGUGUAGCAAGUACUUCUAGCUGUUUUGUUUGAAAACCCCCUAGCAGCCCGUUGGAGACUAAGACGAGGAUGACCCUAUGCACAGAUAUCAACAACACCGGUUCUUAUGAAGUUAAGAGUCUAGUUUUGUUGUUAACUUUCUCAGUUCAUCUAUGAGAAAUAACUCGAGGCGUGAAGCAAGUACUUCUAGCUGUUUUGUUUGAAAACCCCUUAGCAGCCUGUUGGAAGCUGAGAUGAAAAUGGUGGAUGGCAUAUCAAAAUCCGGUAUGAAAAACACGUAUUGGAGUGAAAAAGUCAUGUUUUGUAAACAAUGAAAGAAGAGAACAGUAACAACAAUAAAUACUACGAUAAUUGAAACAAAGAAAACUAAAAUAACACUACUAACAAAGACAAAUAGACAACGCUCGACUAUCUACUAACCUGACCAACAAAAAAUUGAUCCUAAGACAGUUAGAAUGUAUACAAUUUCUUAUUUACACCAAAAUGGCCUAUAUAUAGACAGUUUAAAGGACAACUAAAACUAUAUGUUCAUAGCAACUUCCUCUUCAGGCUCCUCCCAUUGCCAAUUUCAGGUGAGUUAUCGACAUCUGAACCUUCGCGUAAAACCUCACCAUGGUUCCUUGACAAUAUUUUGACUCGAGUGAUACGUAAUCUGAGUCUAGAACCAUCAACUGUAGCUAGUUUAUAAGCUUCAGUAUAGACUGGAUUCGUCGACAUGUCCUUGUCUGGUUUAUUAUCUUCAGUAAAGACUGGACUCGCCUUUAUUUCCCUGUUUGGCAUCAACUCUUCUCCUUCUGCUACUGCUUUCCUCAUCAACUGUAUGAACAAUGCCAUAUGGUAAGUUCAUCGAGUGCUCGUUUAACAAAGAAAUCAAAUCCAGAAUAUCGCGAAUGUAUGUCAUAAAACACACUAGGAUCCUGUUAAACUAGGUUAGCGUUUGGACAUAGAUUUGAUUGAAACUUGAAAAUACGAGUUCUUAAGGUACGUGUAAAAGAGAAACACGACACAGAUGUAGAGAUUCCUUACCUCCCAAUCAGCAAAAUCCAAUCUGAAGACAAAGUGGCUGUAUUUUACUUCACCAGACUUAACUAAAUUGGCAUCAGGACCAUUCCUUGGAGCUGAAAAGAGCAGAACAUAAGAAAGGGAAAAAAAAAAAAAAAGCUAUGCGUGGAGUUCAGGGAAGGGUCGGACUACAAGAGUCUAUUGUACGCAGCCUUACCCUGCAUUUCUGCAAGAGGUUGUUUCCACAGCUCGAACAUAGUCAACAAAAGAUUCGGAGAGGUAUCUUACUGAGAAAAUGAGCUCCAUUUUCAUCCACGUCUAUGACAACUCGUCCAUCUUUCACUAGAAAAGAUAACGCGAAUAAAUUCUCUAUGCUUUGCGCGAAGGAUGUUCUGUUCAGUAUGAUAUUCUCAAGCUUAACUCUCUUCUUCUUCCUUAAGAUCUGAAACAUGGUUGAUAUGUUCUUGUCCGUGUCUGUUAUCUCCUCCGCGUUAACAUCAAGCUGCGAUAGAGGCAGAACACGUAAAUUACAUCAUACUAAGCUGUGAUAGUUUAGAUAGGUAAACAAAACAAUGAAACCAUCAAGUCGAUAGUUAGAAUCCAAAUUGGACGCUAAGUAAGGGAAUUUGCUAAAUGCACUCAUACAUCAAUUGACAACAGGCACAUGUAGGCCAACUUAGCAUCGAGAUGUGUUUUAGUAUAAAAAGAGUGAUAGUUAAGGUAUGAAACUCGCGAAAAGGUGAUAGUUUAGAUAGGUAAACAGAACAAUGAAACCAUCAAGACGAUAGUUAAGAAUCAUAAUUGGAUGCCAAGUAAGGGAAUUUGCUAAAUGCACUCAGACAUCAAUUGACAACAGGCACAUGUAGGCCAACUUAGCAUCAAGAUGUGUUUUAGUAUAAAAAGAAUGAUAGUUAAGGUAUGAAACUUGCGAAAAGGUGAUAGUUUAGGUGGGUAAACAGAACACUGAAACCAUCAAGAUGAUAACAAAUCCAAAAAUGGACACCAAGUAAGGGAAUUUACUAAAUGCACUCAUACAUGAACAUGAGUACUACAAAACACACUUUUACAACAACAAAAACAAUGAGAAACAACAUACCUCCUUUGGUUGAGCGCGCAAGUACAACUUUGAACGUGGUUUACGUGUAUACUUACGUUGCUUAACUUCACGAUCCAUAGGUCCAAUCCUUCAAGAACAAAGCAACAAAACAUAAAAAAUGCAAGAUCACAAGUGAAGCAAAAUAAAAGUUGCCAAAACAAAAACUCACAUGGUGUGAAAACCACUGAUGCCAUUGCUAAAAAUUGGCGAAACAGAACGCCCAAUUUUCUUCCAAUGUAACGUAGUUGCACUCCGAGAGAGUCUUUUGGGACUUUGCGUCCCAAAGACUCCGAGCAAUGAGGAGAUGAACAUAUUCGGUGUAAUUCCAUCAGCAGAAUGUGAUCUAACAGAAGACACCAAAGUUUUGGCAAGAUCUAACAAUGUCUCUGCAUCUGCAACUUGUUCUCUUGGCUUUUUAACUAACAAUCAAACACAACAAUGAAUAAGUUAAUACUCUCUCGUUCGUCUAUCUGGUUUUGACUUCACACGGAUUUCAAGAAAAUAAAAAUACUUUUUAAUCUUAUGACCUUAAACUAAAGAUAUUCAUCAAAAUGUUCUUUAAUUUUGUAUUCUUAAACACGUUGAAAUUAAAGAGUUGCCAACAUAUAGGAAAGUAAGACAAACAAAUUGAAACAGUAAACAGUUUUAAACUUUUUUUUUUUGGUUUCCCACUCAAUGUCUGGAGCCCACAUUGGAGCCCUAACUAAAUUCGGAUCGCACACUACAGGGCCCAUUCGGGGGUGACGCUCCCAACAUGAAAUCCAAGACUCGAACCCGAUACCUCUGGUUAAGGUUGAAAAAGUUCCACCACUACAUCACAACCCAUGUUGGUAAAACAGUUUUAAUUAUAAAAAAGCCAAAAUCGAUUUUAUACCAAAAGUGAGACAACAACAUCAAUAUGUCAUGUAAGAUGUGUGUGUACUUGUUCACAACUAAAUUUGCCAACUGAGAUCAAGUUAAAUAACUCGUUUACGCGUGUCCUUGUUCACAACUAAAUUUGCCAGCUGAGAUCAAGUUAAAUAACUUGUUUAUACAUAUAGAGAGAGUCAUAUCACAAAACAAAAGAAAUAGAGAAGAAAAAAAACCAGAAAAAAUACCUUCAUUAUGAGAACUUUCAAUUUCUUUCAUAAUUUUCUUAAACUUCUCAGAAUUAACACUUCCAAUAUCAUCUUUUCCCUCUGUAUAACACAUCAAAAACAAAAUAAAUCUUAUUUACAAAAUAAUAAUAUUAAUAUAAAAAGAGACCUAAUUAGCUUAUUUUAACAUAAUCAUUAACAACUGUUUCCACGACUCAAACUCAUAACAUAUAAGUCACACACGCUAAGCUGCAUACAGCUUCAAUUCAUCUUUUUUACAAAAUAUCUAGAAAAAUAACACAUAAACAACAAUAAAAAAAUACGAAAAAAUUACCAGAAAUACUAUUUUGAAUUGCAGAAUAUUUGCAACGAACACUUCUUGUUUGAGAUUUUGGUUCAUCAAUUAAAUCAUCAAACUCAAUUUUUGCCAUACUUUUUUCUUUUAUUUUUUACGACUUUGUGUAAAAAUAACGAUAAUCAAGAAUAUUUUUUCUUGUCUUCUUUUAUAAAAGAGGAAAAUAAAUAAAUUAACUUAUCGUUUCAUUAUUCCUUGUUACGGAAGUUACGGACUUCUUUUUUAUUAAAAAUCCUUAUCCUACGGAAUAUGAGUUUAGUACAUCGAAGUGUUCUUUAUUUUUGUUAGUGUAAUAAAAUUUUAUAUUAUUAGAACAUGUGUGAUAUAGUGUAUGUGUUACAGUACGUAAUUUAUUUAUCCUUAGUCUACGUGUAAUGGGACUUUAGUGCUCCUGACUGUUCUUUAUUUUUGUUAGUGUGAUAAAAAUUUAUAUUAUUAAGACAUGUAUUAUAUAAUGUAUGUAUUUGUUAUAGCACGUAACUGAUUUAUCUUCAUGUUAUAUAUAGCUUUUAUCAAAAUAAAAAAAAAUGGAGUACGAUAUAUAUAUGGGAAAUUUGAGUGAAUUCGUUGUUUAAUUUUUUUCCUAUGUCAAAAAAUAAAAGAAGGUGAUUAUCCUUAUCCUACGUGUAAUGGGAGUUUAAUUAGUACAUCAGACUAUUUCUUUAUUUUUGUUAGUGUGAUAAAAUUUUAUAUCAUUAGGUCAUGUACUCUAUAACGUAACUUAUUUAUCUUCAAAUACCUAAAACUUUUUUUUAAAAAAAACAAAAAAUUGGACUACGAUAUAUAUGAGAAAAUCAAAUAAUUUGAUAUUUAUUUAUUUAUUCCUAGGUCAAAAAAACAAAAGAAGUUCAUGUAACUUUUUUUUUUUUUAAAAAAAACUCUUUAUGUUGAACUAAUUAGAGAAAAAAAAAAUGAACAUUAGCUCACACAUAACUUAGACAAAAAAAAGAAUUAUGCAAAUUCAAUCAUGCCACAUUUUUUUAAGUUCAAAACACAUAAUUUGGGGGGAAAAAAGCAGUUUUAAUCCAUGGUGAUAAUAAACUGCGAAAUAUUAUCGUACCAACAAAACAAACAAAUUCAAAACACCUAAAGAGCGCCUAUAAACUCAAGCACCUUCUUGUUUUACCCAUCUCUCUCACAACAAUGGCUCUGAGCUCAAACGCGGUGGAGUAUUGAAGAGUGUCUUUUGGAUAGUAAACGAUAGCAUUGUUGAACAUCAAUAAGAGAUCUCUGAAGAAGCUGGCAAAUUUCAUGUUUGAAUAAAUACCUUGUUCUAGCUUGUUUUGAAUAAUUUGUAAAUCCAUAUGCUGCUUAAUUUGCUUGAUAUAACCAAAAUCUAGAUCACUUUCUUGAAAAAAAGACAAUAAAUAAUUAGCACUAAUAUUAUGACGCAUUUAAGAUUAUAAGUUCCAAAAUUCUUUCCUUCACAUCAAGUCAAAUUAAUUAAUAUGUGGCUAUAAUUAAACAUGUCCUUAGGGGGUAAAAAGAUGUGGAGUUCAAAAUUCAAUCAUUUCUAAGUUUUCUUUAAAAAAUAAAAUAAAAUUUCCAAUAUAAAUUAAAGAGGAAAGAACAUUACAUAAAAUAGAAGGAAAAAAAAGAAGAUUCACUUUUGUGAAAGAAAUAUAUAUGUAUCCAUCUUUUGUAAAUCAAACACUAAAAGAAAUAGAGACGAUAUAACUUUAGUCGUUGAACAUUAAGAAUUUAUCACAACUAGAUAUAUAAAAUUUAAUGAUAGACUAGCAAUCAAUAUACCUGACUGGAAAGUCGAGAUUCAAAAAAACAACAAUAUUCGUGAGACCUCAGUAUAUCAAGAACUCCUAUAAAAUCUUGAUCGAUAUUAUCCAUUUUGUCAUUAGAUGUAUCAUCUCCUUCUUCCUUAUCAGCAAUUCUCUUUUCUGCCUCUAAUUUGUAAAGCAUUUGAAGUUUUUUUCUAUAUAAACAUAAAAUAAAUAAGAUAUAUAUUAGUCAUCAAAUCGUCUUCUUCUUGUUAAACUUACAAAAAAUGAGUAUAUAUAAUUUCACCCUCUUAGGCUUAUAAUUGAAAAUUAGAAAUACUUGUUAUAAAUCAUCGAAAAGAAUAAUAUAUGUAAUUGAAGAGAGACAACAAAUUGUACAGACUGUUUGAGAAAUUGUUUACAAAUUUAUUUAAACAAUUUAACUUAUCAAAAUUUUGAUUUUUCCUUUUUAGCUUUUCUUAGUGUACCUAAAAAUUAGAUCUACAAACAUAAAUUUGAACAAUUAAAGAAGUCAAAACUAAUGCAUAAUUAUAUUUUAUGGGACCAAUUUUUUAAGCUAACAAUUAUUUAGUUUUUUUUUUAUAAGAAAAAAAUGAUGAAUUAACAAUGAAAUUUGUCUUCAAAAAGUCCAUAAUUAAUUCUAACUCAACAAAAAAGAAAAAAAAAUUAGUGGUAGAUUGUACCAUAUUUUAUUUGUGCCCUAUAACUCCUAAGAUCUAGAGAAGAUAUAUACCUUAUAUUUUUGUGUCCCCUAUUAAUCAAUUUAUUUAUUUUUUAAAAUCCAUCAUACAAAAAAUUAAUCAUGAAAAGCCCCAAUUCUCCAAGCAUCAUAAACAACAAUUAAAUCAAAAAGGAAAAAAGAGGGUUUUUUCUUCUUCUUUUUGCUAUUUUUAAAAAUAAAAAGAUAGAUCUUACUCAAUCAAAGCAUCAAAUAGUUUGAAUUCCUCUCUCAAAGCAUUUAUAUAAGUCUCUGUAAGUAUAUCUGUCAUCAACUUUACGAGUGCACUUUCAUCGUCAUCUUCUUCAUUAAAAUUCAUCUGAUACAAAUUCUUAAAACGCUCUUUUAAACUUUCGUACUUGAUCUGACAUUCUACUGGCGAUAUGUUAAAAACACAUCGACGAAAAUGAAAAAUGGCUUUGGAGAAUUCAGCGGCCACCAUUUCCCACUUGUCUAAUCCAUGCAUUCUCACUGAACAUGCAAGCAAAAGAUCAUCUUGGACUUGAAGUUUCUCCAUUUUUUGAAGAAUUUUUUUGAGUUUUUUUUAGAGUAAUUAAUCACUUGGUAAAUAAUAAUUCAAUUUUUUCUUCUUUUUAAAAUGGUCAAUUUUCUUUUAAGGAAUAGUUAUUAGAUUUUGUGAAUAUAAUUUUGAUCAUUUAUGGCUUAGAAUGAAAUAAAGCCAGCUAAUGUAAAUGUGGCAAAAAGAAAUAAUUUUUUUUUGCCAUCUAUUCAUUAUAUAUGAAAUUACUUUUUUGGAUCAUAUUUGAUUAUUUAUUUUAGGUAAAUUAAUCAAGUUUGAAAGAUUUGCUCAUUUUAGAAAAAUAUUUAAUAUUUAUGGUCAAAAGCCUAUUAAGUACUUUCAAUUUGAAGCAUAAAUACAUAGAUGAAAAUUUAUUAAAUAUUAAUUAAUACCAAGUUUGAAUAUAUAAUUUUGAAAGCAUAUGCAACAAGUACAAUAUUAAAAACCUUUUAAAAGUUAAAUUCAUCAAGUUUAAAUUUUGAAAGUGAAUUCAGAUAUAAUAUGGUGCACUUAAUUUUCGCUAGGCGCGAAAAUCAUAAAAACAUUUGGACACAAGAAUCUAUAUACACAAUCUUAUCAUGUAUACUUUCUUAUCAUGUAACUUUUUCAAGAAGUUAUUUUUCUGAAUCCAUGAUCUCAUGAUCACAACUAUAAUUUUACUAGUUAUGCAACCUUCUUUUAGUGAUAUAAGACAACUAUAUGUGAAUGAACCUUCUUUUAACUUUUAUUUUUUCCAUAUUUAUAGCCAUUUUUUUCUUUUAUAGGAUAUCUCACUAAAUAUUUUCAUAAAAUUAAAACAAAAAGAACAUGGGAAAAACACAUGGUUUUUUUUGGGGGAAUUCAUUUAUGAUUCUAAUUUUCUUUUUUGUUAAUAGUCAAUUUUAAUGAUUUUCAGUUACUUCAUUUAAUCAAUUUUUUUAAAAAAAUUAGAAAGUAAUUUAUUCUUAACUUAGAGUUUGAACUAAAACUGUUGUAUACAGAAAUUUGACAGAAAUCAUAGGUGACUUCUAGUUGAGGCACCCAAGUAACUUAUUAGUUUAAAUCAUUUGUACAUUAAACUCACUUAAUUAUAUAAUAACCAUAAUUUUUCUAAUUUAAACCUUAUAUUCCUAAAAUUAUUUGCCAUCUUUGCUUCAUUUUUAGUAUAAGUUAUUAGGACAUGUAUUCUAUAGUUUAGGUGUUAUAGUACAUAACUAGUUUAUCCUUAUGCUACGUGUAAUAAGAAUUUAGUGCACCAGACUAUUCUUUAUUUUUAUUAGUGUGAUAAAAUUUUAUAUUAUUAUAUGUUAUAGUACGUAACUUAUUUAUCGUCAAGUAAAUAUUUUUAUUUUCCAUCAACAAUUUAAUAAAGUAGAAUUUGAUUUAUUAGACGUUAGGAAGACAAGAAUCAGUCAAAAAAUUUGUAUGUACUUGAUUGCAUAGACAAAACAAAUGGAAAAUAAAGAUACGAUAUAUAUUAGCUUACAAGAAAAAUUGAGAGUAUACUAAUUGAUAAAUUCUACAACAAAGUUUAUGUUUUCAAGAUUAAUAUCAGCUUAUGGAUGUCCCUCUAAGCAUUCUACAUUAGGAUCAUCAUCGUCUUCCUUGUCCAUAAUAGAAAGUACUUCAUCUCUAACAUCGUCGUCCUCUACAAUAAUGUAGUCUUCUAAUUACAAAGAUGAAUCAAUAAGUUCUUUAACGUCAUUCAUAUUCUCAUCGCUAGUGAAUUUACGCUUCUUCUUUAUCUUACAUAUUACAUGACCCUUAUUCUUAAUUUCUUUUGCACCCAAAUAACCAUCAUACAAAGAGUAUUCAAUCAUUAGCCACUCGCCAUUAGCAUUCUUGUUAUUACUUUCGUCGUAGGUGUACUUCAAACUUUUCACGUACCCCAUAAGUCUACCUUUUUUGUCAAACACCUCUUUUCCCUUUCCUUGUGGCUUCCACGUACCCUUCCCCACAGUUCGCGCAACUCUUUUCCAUUUCAAAUUCUUUUCUUUUGGGGCGUUAUGAAGUAACGUGUGUAGCUCUUAGUGCCUUCAAAAAUCUGCCAUGGUUCAUUUUCCGCAUAAAGAUUAACCACCUGCAUAAAUUGAUCCUGGUUUGGAAGUGGUUCAUUUCUCGUAAACUCUACUAAAUAUUUCAUGAGUUCUAUAUUCUUAGGAUAAAAUAUAUGGCCCAACGGUCUUCCCUUAGCUUGAGCCAUUAUUUUAGUGAUUGAUAAAUUGAAGAAACAAUAAUAUGAAUAGAGCUAUAGAUCGAUCUAGCUAAAAGAAAAACUUACCCUAAUGAUUAAGAAGAUGAACAAGUUGAUUACUGGAGUAUAAUGAUUUUAUAGAUUAAUCACUCCAAAUUAUAUAGUUAAUGGAAAUGACGUUUUUGGUAACUUUUUAUUUUAUCUUUCCUUUUGAAUUACUAAUUACUCCUAACUAAAUUAUAUAGUUAAUGGAGAUGACGUUUACUUUUUAUUUUAUCUUUCCUUUUAAAUUACUAAUUAUUCCUAAUCACGUAGUUAAUCACUAAUAGAAGCUUUGGAAGCUUCUUUUUUUGAAUUACUUAUUUAUGCUUUGGAAGUUUUUUUUUUCUUUUUGAAUUAAUAGUUUAAGCUCCCCCGUGAGAGAACAAGGGGAAUAUGAUGCUAAAAAGAAAAAUAAUAAAAAUAAAAUUAUGAGUUCUAAACUUUUUUUUCCUUUAGUAGGUUGGAAAGUUUUGAAAGCUUCUUCUUUUUUUAUCCCUUAAUUGAUGUUAUUUUUUGAUGUUAAUUAUUCAACAAAAUAUGUUUUAUUUUAAUAAUAAAAAGCAUAUACAUCAGCACAAAAUAAUUACUAUAUUCUCAAUCCUAAUAAUUUUUAUCUAGCCUGGGAUGGGAGGGAGUAGAUCCUGCUUCAUAUUUGUUAAUUCAUUUCUGGUUUACACGAUUUCAGGCAGAUAAAACAACUAUAAAAGCUAUGCUUGUCAAUCGAGUAGGUGAUUUUGAAUUAGCUCCUGUGAUUUUGGAUUAGCUCCUGGGAUUUUGGGUUAUUUUACUCUAUUUCAAACAGUAGAUGUAACUUUUGUUAUUUCAUUACUUUUAAUCACUAUUAGAAAUAUAGGUUUUCACCCAUUUUCUAUUAAAUCAGCUCAUGACUAAAAAAGAAAUUGACUGAAAUAUUGAAAAAUUCCCUAAUAUUUUUGUACAAAAAUACUACUAUUUUUUUUCCAUCGAUUUAAUUAUAUUAUAUUAACUAAAAGUUGACUACUUAAUAGAAAGAGGCGUAGUGAAGCUUAAUUCUGCCUAAUUACUAAGAUUGGAGCUACAUGUAAUCGUCUAAAAGUAUGGUAUAUUUUAUUUUAUUUUUUGCUAUUUCAUGACUAUAUUGUUUUUUUUUUUUCGAAAAACAAAAGAAGUUGAUAAAAAAAAAUUUUGAAAAAAAAAAACGCUUUAUGUUGAACUAAUUAGAGAAAAAAAAAAAUUAGCUCAUGAGCUCACAUACCAAACAAUUUUUCAUAGAUCAUCAACUGAAUUAUGCAAAUUCAAUCAUGCAACAAUAUUUUUUUUUGUUCAAAACACACAUAAUUUAAAAUAAAAAAGAAAAAGACUAGCACUCCUCUUGACAUAUUUCUUACCAUCUCCUUGAGCUUUGUUACACGUCUUUUUCUCCAAUUUUUAACGCACUGCAGGUAAUGCUAUCACAAUUUUACGAUGAAAUAAGAGUUUUUUACCCAUCUCUCUCACAAUGGCUCUGAGCUCAAACGCGGUGGAAUAUUGAAGAGUGUCUUUUGGAUAAUAAACGAUAGCAUUGUUGAACAUUAACAAGAGAUCUCUGAAGAAGUUGGCAAAUUUCAUGUUUGAAUAAACACCUUGUUCUAGCUUGUUUUGAAUAAUUUGUAAAUCCAUAUGCUGCUUAAUUUGUUUGAUAUAAUGAAAAUCUGGAUGACUUUCCUGAAGAAAAAAAAACAAUAAAUAAUUAGCACUAAUAAUGAACUAAUAACCUAAGUUUUAUGAUCUUAAUAUUGUACAUUUGAUAAUUUCACAUUUUACAAUGAAUUUAAGAAAGAAUAAAAAAGACUUUUGGUCUUAAAUAUGUUAGAUAUUCCUUUCAUUCUAUGUAACAUAUUUUACUGUCAAUUUGUUUAAAAAAUGACAUAGGUCUAUAAUAAUCAAGCUUUAAACUUUUCAUUUUAUAAUUAGUGAAAAGUUCUAUAGUCACACAAAUAUUAUGAUGCAUUUCAGAUUAUAAGUUUCAGAAUUCUUUCUUCACAUCAAGUCAAAUUAAUUAAUACAUGGCUAUAAAAACAUGUCCUUAGGGGUAAAAAAAUGUGGAGUUCAAAGUUCAAUCAUUUCUAUGUUUUAAAAAAAAUAUUUUUUUCAUAAAAAAUUAAUAAAGAGGAAAGAAUGUCACAUAAAAUAGAAGAAAAAAACAUUCCUUUUUAAAAGAAGAUUCACUUUUGUGAAAGAAAUAUAUAUGUAUCCAUCUUUUGUAAAUCAAACACUAAAAGAAAUUGAGACGAUAUAACUUUUGUUGCUAUAACACUAAGAAUUUAUUGCUCUACUAGAAACAUAUAAAAUUUAAUGAUAUAUAGGUUAACAAUGGAUUUACCUGACAAAAAAGUCGAGAUUCAAAAAGACAGCAAUAUUUGUGAGAUCUGAGCACAUCAAGAACACCUAUAAAAUCUUGAUUGAUAUUAUCCAUUUUGUCAUUAGACGUAUCAUCGCCUGUUUCCUCAUCAGCAAUUCUUUUUUCUGCUUCUAAUCUGUAGAGAUUGUGAAGUUUUUUCCUAUAUAAACAUAGAAUAAAUAAAGAUAUAUAUAUCAAUAUAUCAAAUUGUCUUCUUGUUGUUAAACUUGUAAAAAAAAGGAGAAUAUAUAAACUUGGACAAUAAAAGAAGCCAAAACUAAUGCAUAAUUAUAUUAUUUGGGGACAAUUUUUUAAGCUAACAAUUAUUUAGUUUUUUAGAAGAAAAAAAAUUAUGAAUUAACAAUGAAAUUUGUCUUCAAAAAAUCCAUAAUUAAUUCUACACUCAAAAAGAAAGAAAAAAAUAUUUUUUUAGUGGUAGAUUGUACCAAUUAAUGAUAUUUUAUUUAUGCUCUGUAACUCCUAAGAUCUAGAGAAAAUAUAUACCUUAUAUUUAUGUCCCCUAUUAAUCAAUUUAUUUUAAAAAAAUCCAUCAUACAAAUGAGGAUCACACAAAAAAUUAAUCAUGAAAAACUACAAUUCUCCAAGCAUCAUAAACAAAAAUUAAAUCAAAAAGGAAAAAAAGGGUUUUUUUUGUUGUUGCUAUUUUUAAAAAUAAAAAGAUAGAUCUUACUCAAUCGAAGGAUCAAAUAGUUUCAAUUCCUUUCUCAAAAUAUUUUUAUAAGUCUCUCUAAGUGCAUCUGCCAUCAACUUUACGAGUGCACUUUCAUCAUCAUCUUCUUCAUUAAAAUUCAUCUGGUACAAAUUCUUAAAACGCUUUUUGAGACUUUCGUACUUGAUCUGACAUUCAUCGGGCGAUAUAUUAAGAACACAUUUACGAAAACGAAAAAUGGCUUUGGAGAAUUCAGCAGCCACCAUUUCCCACUUGUCUAAUCCAUGCCUUCUCACUGAACAUGCAAGCAAAAGAUCAUCUUGGACUUGAAGUUUCUCCAUUUUCUAAAGAUUUUUUUUGAGUUUUUUAUUAGAGAAAUUAAAUCACCUGGUAAAUAAUGAUUCAAUUUUUUCUUCUUUUUUAAAUGGUCAUACUUAGCUUUUAAGGAAUAGUUAUUAGAUUUUGUGAAUACAAUUUUGUUCAUUUAUGGAUUAGAAUGAAAUAAAGUCAGCUAAUGUAAAUGUGGCAAAAAGAAAUAAAUAUUUUUUGUUUUUUUUUUGCCAUCUAUUGAUUAUAUGAAAUUAUAUUUUUGGAUCAAAUUUAAUUGUUUAUUUUAUGUAAAUUAAUCAAGUUUGAAACAUUUGCUCAUUUGUAAAAAAAUAUUUAAUAUUUAUGGUCAAACGCUUUUUAAGUAUUUUAAUUUAAAGCAUAAAUACAUAUGUGAAAAUAUAUUAAAUAUUAAUUAAUACCAAGUUUGAAUUUAUGAUUUUAAAAGCAUGUGCAACAACUAGUAUAAUAUUAAAAAUUCUAAAAUUUAAAUUCAUCAAAUUUAAAUUUUGAAAGUGCAUUCACAUAUAAUUAGGUGUACUUAAUUUUCGCUAGGCGCAAAAAUUAUAGAAGAAUUUAGCCACAGGAAUCUAUUAUAGGCAGUCUUAUCAUGUAUACUUUUUCAAGAAAUCAUUUUUCUACAAUAUGAAUCUGAAUCUAUGACCUCAUGAUCACGGCUAUAAUUUUACUAGUUACGCCAAGACUUCUAUAUUAUAAGACAACCAAUUAAUUAAUUAGUGGUAUAAGACAACUAUAUGUGAAUGAACCUUCUUUUAACUUCUUAUUUUUUUCCCAUAUUUAUAGCCAUUUUUUUCUUUUAUAGAUUUUCAUAAAAACAAAAAGAACAUGGAAAAAAACAUGAUUUUGUUGGGGGAAUUCAUUUAUGAUUCUCAUUUUCUUUUUGUUGAUAAUCAGUUUUAAUGAUUUUCAGUUACUUGAUUAAAUCAUUUUAAAAAAUAAAUAAAUUAGAGAGUAAUUUAUUCUUAGCUUAGAGUUUGAACUAAAACUAUUGUAUACAGAAAUUUGACUGAACUCGUAGUUGACUUCUAAUUCAAGUACCUCAAUAACUUUUAGUUUAAAUCAUUUGUACAUUGAACUCACUUAAUUAUAUAAUAACCAUAAUUUUUCUAAUUUAAACCUAAUAUUCUUAAAAUUCUUUGCCAACUAUGCUUCAUUUUUAGUAUGAGUGUUACAAAAUUAUCAUGUAAGACGCCACGUAGGAUAAAUGUGUCUAUUCUACGUGGCGUAUUAUGGUCCUAUAUGAUAUACUACAUAUAUUAUGUCACGUAAGACAUAUGUGUCUAAUUGUUUAACUUUGUGUAAAUUUAAGUGUCCAUUUGUUUAUAUAUAACAUUAAGGGAAAAUUAUGCAGAACAACAAACAUUUAACCUAUAUUAGGUACUAUAAUUAUAGUUUAAGAAAAUUGUAAUUCACGGCUAUAGUUCCCCAAUUUUUGCUAUUCUUCUGAUUUAUAUUAUUAUAUAAUUUGUCUGCUUUAUAUAAAUCCAGAAUUUGUAUAAUUCAGUUCCUGAUUGUACAAAUCUAGAAUUUCGUAUAUACUUACUCUAGCUAUUUGUAUACGAUUUAUAAAAAAAUCAUAUUAAAUUACCAUGUUUGUAUAUUGGCAAGUAAAAUAUACAAAUGGACUUCUGAAAAAUUUCUGAAUGUAUAAAUACAAAAUUUAUAUAUACUUACUCUAUUUGUAUAUUCGCAAACGAAAUAUAUAAACGAUCAGAAAUAUGCAAACCGCAGCCUCCAUAGCAAACAAAACUAUAACUAUGAAGCAGAAUUAUCGAAACUAUAGCUAUAGAACGUUAUUAUGACCAUUAUGUUUGCUAUUUCUAAAAUUUUCUCUACGAAAGGGCACAUAUAUCAUAUGAAACCAAGUUAAAAAGUAACUUAUAAAAGUAGCAAAGAUUGACCCUUAACUUUUCCAAUUUGUCAUUUUGACCCCCAAAAAACCUAAACAGGAAAUUGACUGUCCCAUUCUUCCCCAAAUCAUCAAAAAUGUCAAGAGCUCCUACUAUAGAUUCUUGUACAGUGGAAACCAGUGAUGGGGUCAAGCUCCAUGCCACAAUUUUCAAACCAAACCCAUAUGAAGAUGAUGAAGAAGAUGCAGUAGGUGAAGAAAUAAGCAAAAAUAGCUCAUGGGUUGUGGUUUUAGUUCAUCCAUAUUCAAUAUUAGGUGGUUGUCAGAGUCUAUUGAGAGGAAUAGCAAGUGGGUUAUCAAGAAAAGGGUAUAAAGCUUUAACCUUUGAUAUGAGAGGUGUUGGAAGAUCAACUGGGAAGCCUUCUAUUACUGGGUUUAAGGAAAUUAAGGAUGUGGUGGCUGUUUGUAAAUGGGGUUGUGAAAAUCUAUCUGUCAACAAGAUUUUGUUGGUGGGUUCUUCUGCAGGUAUAUAGAAUUUUAAAUUUGUUUCCUUUUUAGUGUAUAGAUGUAUUUUUUGGGGGUUUCAAGAUUAUGGAGUUGUCUCUAAAUUAAGCCUGUUUUGAUGUUUGAUUCAAUGGAGCUUGUAUAGUAUUCCACUAUUUAGAAGUUAGGGUAGUAGGUUAGGAGGUAGUAGAGUGUGGUCUUACUUAUACUUACAUACUAGUAGUCGUAGUAUUACUCGUGUAGGUUAGGAGGUAGUAGAGUGUGGUCUUGCUUAUACUUACGUACUAGUAGUCGUAGUAUUACUCGUGUAGGUUAGGAGGUAGUAGAGUGUGGUCUUGCUUAUACUUACGUACUAGUAGUCGUAGUAUUACUCGUGUAGCUUCUUGCUUGUUGCUUCUUAUACUUCGAUUGUCAUAUUCUUUGUUUUGUUUUGUUGUAGUUAUGCUUUGUUAUGCUUUCUGUAAUGUUGUGCCAUGACUUCUUCAUUUAUGUUAUUUCCUUUUCUGAACUGCUUUGAUUUGUUUUUCAUCUAGCUGAGGGUCUAUUGGAAAUAGCUUUUUCUUCCUCCAGGGUUGGGGUAAGGUUUCACUUAGUACUUUGUGGGAUUACAUUGAGUAUGUUGUUGUUGUUGUUGUUGUAUCGUUGUGUUAUUCCAAACAAGGACUGCAUUGUGUCAGUUCAUUUAAUGGUUAAAUUACACUGAUAGUGUAGAUAUUUUUAGCUGAGUUGCAUGGAUUCUUCACUUUCAAUGUCUCACUCAUGUUGGAUUCUCCAAAAAUACACUGCUUUUGGAGAAUCUGACAUGCACCCAUUGACAUUUUUGAAGAGCCCGAGCAACAUAGAUUUUUAGUGUCUAUAGAUGGUUUUUUGGUUCUUCGGAAUGAUGGGGUUGCCUCUAUAUUAAGUUUGUUUGAUGAAUGUGUUUGAUGUUUGAUUCAAUGACCCUGAUAAGUAUUGCCACAAUUUAGAAGGAUUUUCCAAAUUUUUUGUGUCAUCCUUGUGUUUUCCAAAUAAAGAGUGCAUUGUGUCAUCAGUUCAUUUAAUUUUAAGAGAAUUACUGACUGUUUUCUGGUAGCUUUAAUUGUUAGCUAAAUGCUCUAGUUUAUUGUAGUACACAGCUAGAUGCGUUGAGUUUGUUGGAUUACAAGGAUAUAUAAGUUGAUUCCUAUCAAAUAAGCUAGUUCUUGAGUCACAUUUGAUAGGAAACUGCUGCAUGGUUUCAGUAGGAGAGUAAGGAAGCAAGGAGAACUCGUGGAUUGUGGUUUUGGUUCAUCCAUAUUCAAUAUUAGGUGGUUGUCGAGGUAUAUGGAGAGGAAUAUCUUUUAGAAGUUUCUUGCACUUCUAAAGUUUAGAUUUUUCUUAAGUACUUUAUGUUAUGUGCUCUUAUUACACUAUUAGGUUAAGUAGACUGUUCCUUUUUUCAGAAUGUUUUGUCAUGCUUUCUAUAGUAUUUUGCCACGAUUUUUAUUCAUUCCCGUUAUUUCUUUUUCGAUCUUCUUUGAUAUGCUAUUCCUUGAGUUGAGUGUCUAUUGGAAACGGUCUCUCUACCUCCCAAGGUAGGGGUAAGGUCUGCGUACACUCUACCCUCCCCAAACCCCACUUGUACGAUUACACUAGGUAUAUUGCUGUUGUUGUAAGGGUGAGAGCUCUAUUUUGCAAAUACUUGGUGUCUUUAACAUCCAUCCGCGUAAACGUGAUUUGUUGCUACUCAAGUUCCAUACUUGUUAUUUUCUUUUGCUGCUACUUUUAAUGGCAUAGUGUUGGAUGUUUCAUUCUCUCUUUCUUGUCCAAAAAAUCGAGGUGCUAAUGUAGUACACAUUUAAUCAUGUUGUAUUAAAACAAGGAAAUGCUACCGUAAAACAAUCAGAUUGAUGAAUUAUAAAUAGUGAACUUCAAACUAGUUUGCCUUUUUAUAUUUCUGUGGUAUCCGUAUGCAGCAGCAAGCGAUUCUCAAGAACGUUAGGAGUCUAAAAUCACGUCCCUGGCGGAGUUGACUCAUAACUUUCUUCUGUUGGCAAUCAUUAAUGACCAUGAAUUAUUUAUAGAAAGCUUUGCCACAAAAAUGCACACAAUGGCAAUAAUUAGAUAAAACUGUUUUUUGCACUGUGAUGAUGCAUGUCUUUUCCUUUUUUCUUUCGGAAGAAGGGAAGUUUCUGAGGAUCACUGCUUUCCCAUCCUCUCAUAUUUGCCUGUCUCGCUGAUCUCCUUACUUUGAACUGUCUCCAUUGCCUUCUCUGAAUAGUAAAAUCAAGGUUAGUUGCCGCCUAAGUUAAACAUGUCUAGAACAAAAGCUUUUUGUCCUUUAUGGUCUUUUUAAGCCUGUCGUGAUGUAUGACAAUGUAAGUAUAUAUAGCAUGAGAUUGUAGUUGUCUUUUUAAGUAACGGAAGAGGGAAAGAAGAAUGUAGGAGAAGUAAGACCAUUUUUCCCGGUUAAACCUGAUCAAUUCUUUAGUGUAAGUGCUAGAAAUAGGAAGAGAACUUGAAGAGAGGGAGUACUAAAUAGGUUAAAGAGUUAGAACUUAGAGGCUACCUAUCAUUUUCACUUCUAGAAAAUCCAGUUGAGCGUUUAAAAUGAUAAUUCAUUCAGCUCUAUUUAUAAAUUCUCCGAUAUAUAUCCCCUUUGUCGUUAGUUUAUUCCCUCUUACACCUUCUCAAUGAGUUGUGUGACUCAUCUAAGUGCUCGUUGCAUUGCUUUGGUAAGCAAUAAAAGCAUGUCUCUCUAUCAUAUUCUCCAAUAUACCAUGUCAAAUGCCGUUUGAGCAGAUUACUAGUACUUUUGCUUCUUCACAAGACAAGCUACUUCUAAAUCAAUGAGAGAAGAUGUUCCAAAGAUUCUGUAGUAACAUAUGCAGUUGAUUCUUUUCUGGAACUUGCCGUGUUGAUAAAUACAACUAGCAUGGACUGGUUAACAAUUAUCGUAUUAUUUGUUGUUGCUACUUGUUCCUUUCUUAAUUGUUUUCAACACGGCUUCUUGCUACUGUAGUUGCUUUUCAUAUUUAAGGUAGGGAUAAGGUUUGCGUACACUCUACUGCCCCAAACCCCACGUUGUUGGACCAUACUGGAUAUGUUGUUGUUGUUGUUGUUAUCUCAUUAUCGAUAUACAUUUAUAACAGGUGCACCAAUAGCAGGCUCUGCUGUAGAUCAGGUUGAACAGAUUGUGGGCUAUGUAAGUAUUGGUUACCCUUUUGGUUUAUUAGCAUCGGUCCUCUUUGGGCGACAUCACAAAAACGUAUUAAAAUCGCCUAAACCAAAGCUCUUCAUCAUGGGGACACAAGACGGAUUCACCACCGUUAAACAGCUGAACAAUAAGGUUAGAUCUGCAGCAGGACAUGUCGAGACUCAUCUAAUUGAAGGUAUUGGCCACUUUGAGUUGGAAAGCCCUGCCUAUGAUUCCCAGAUGGUAAUUUUUAUUGCAGAAUUCAUCAACUCUUUGUAGUCCUCAAGAUCUGGCGUUGCACGGGAAGAAUUUACGACAUAAUGUGAUUCCCUAUGAACGACAUCCAAUCUUCUACACGCGGUGCAGUUUCAUAAUCUGGUGUUUUCUAGCUGGUCUCCAAAUGAAAAAUGAGAGAUGGAGUUGGAGUUGAUUUUGUGUGUGUGUGGGGGGGGGGGGGGAGGGAGUUCAGGGGGGGGGGUNNNNNNNNNNNNNNNNNNNNNNNNNNNNNNNNNNNNNNNNNNNNNNNNNNNNNNNNNNNNNNNNNNNNNNNNNNNNNNNNNNNNNNNNNNNNNNNNNNNNNNNNNNNNNNNNNNNNNNNNNNNNNNNNNNNNNNNNNNNNNNNNNNNNNNNNNNNNNNNNNNNNNNNNNNNNNNNNNNNNNNNNNNNNNNNNNNNNNNNNNNNNNNNNNNNNNNNNNNNNNNNNGUGGGUGGUGGGGGGGGGGGGGUAUGAGUUCACGGUGGAGGGUUGCCAGGGGCGGAUAGAGAACAUAUAUGGUAGGGAUUCGAUAGAACUCAAUAGCUUUGAACCUAGUGACAAGCGAGGAAUCGUCAGAACCUAUAAAUUUCAAAUCUUGGCGGAUGCCUCAGAGGGUGUUGGUGCUUUUAAUGAUUCUAAAUUUUAUAUUUUAACUGAAUUGUCACUUGGCUGUUGUGUGUGAGCAAUGAUAGUGUAUGUGCAACACCGUAAAUACUUACUCGAAUCGAGUGUUUAUAGUUGACUUGUACUUGGGUACAGAAUUUUACUGUCUCAAUGAAAAUCUUGGAUCCGUCACCAUUAUUGGUAUACUAGCGUUCAUCCUUUUUGUUUGACAUGUUAGAAAGUAUGGCCUAUGUUUAGAUUUUCGGGGUCAUAAAACACGAAUUCAUAAUAAUGGAUUUUUUAUGUUGUAUUUGUUGAUCUUUUUUGACGUUUCAAAAUCUUAAAACAUGAAUUUCAUAUUUAAUACGUGCUGAUUUUCAUAAAUGGGAGGUAUUUGAUACGAGUAAAAAUUUAAAAGUCGAAUUCUUUAGCACAUAAAUUUUAAAAUUCGGAGAUAUGAAUUUGAAUAGGGAUAUUGGUGUUGGGAUACCACCAAUAAUCAUAUGCUUUAAUUAAUUAAAAGUUUUGAAUUUAAACUAAUAAAUUAUAAAGUAUUCUUUAUAAACGCCUAAUGUUUUAUUUUUAUACUAAUUAUAAUUGAGACUUUGAAAGAGAUAACAUGUGCAUUUUCAGUGCUAUUUUUUGAAUUUGUCUCAUGCUCAUGUGCCUACUCCUUUUAUUCUUUUCUUGUUUUUUUUUUUUCCUUUUUGAGUGUCACAAUUCGAGUCUAUACCCCAGCUGAGAUACUGUACUCAAAAUCACGAUUGACUUGAAGCUAACCCUUGACAUAACAUAUCAGAGCAUAUCAUAUGAAACUAAUGCGAAAGCAGAAACAUAUGCUUAAUAAGUCUUAAUAUUAAGACGAAUGACGUCGUUAUAAAGAACCCUUGACAUAACAAUCAUUCGAUGUUUGGAAUUCACUAAUUUGAGACAAGGGAGAGUUGUUCGGAUAGUAAACACUCUUCACUUCCAACCCUAAGGUUGUGAGUUUGAGUCACCAAAAGAGUUAAAAGGUGGAAGCUCCUAGAAAGGAGUAAAAAAAAAUAUUUAAUAAUUCAACUUAUUCAAAUUCGGGCCGCAUAGAACUCACAAAAGGGAAAUCGAAAUCAUACUAUGCAAAAUUGUAAUGCGAUUAUACUAACACUAACACAUCAUAUUCUAUUAAAAUAGCGAAAUCAAGCAUGUUUAGGUGAGAGUAGUACUAAAAUAGGUGACCUUCUGCAAAGUCCUCGUAUUGCAUCCCUCCUUUCAGUUUCAAAAAGUAAUAUACCAAAAAAAUGGAGUAAUGUUCCUUUUAAGGGAAAAUUAUAUGAAAUAACAAACUAUUAAUUCAAAUUAAAUGUUAUAGCCAUAGUUUAUUUUAUUUGUAUUCGCAUCAAACAUCCCAUUUUUUUGCCAUCUGGUUCGGUAUACAAUUAGCCAUUUUCGAUAUACAAUUACUCAUUCGGUAUACAAAUGUAUAAAUAUUAUAAAAUGUGUUUUGUGUUUGUAUAAAGCGAGAGAAAGUGUAUAUAUAAUACGAAUACAUAUAUUUUCGUCCUAUACACUUACAAUAAUACAAAUACAAAUCUUAUUAUACAAAUUACAAUGUAUAAAUGAAUUUAUACAAAACUACACAAUUUGUAUAAAAUUGGAUGUAUCUAGCAAAUUAUACAAAUCAAAAGCUCCAUAGAAAACAUAAAAUUUGCUAUAGAACACAAUUAUGCAAACUAUAGCUAUAACAUACAAAUAUGAUUUUUAUGUUUGCUAUAUGUGAAAGUUGCUCUUCUUUUAAUCAUAUAGCAUUUAUUUUUCAAAUUGAUACUGAAUAUUAAGGCUUAAAUAUUAAAUCAAGUAAGGCAAAAAAGGUGUAUUGUUUUUUUUUGGUUUGAUAUAAUUAUUUUACUUUCAAAAUUUUAAUUAAUUUGAUUAAUUUGGAAUUGCAUCGCAUAGGCUCAUUUACGGGACAAACACUCCUUAUCAGAAGUUUCUUCAUUCACAUAACUCGAACUUAAGAUCUCUGAUUAAGAAUGAGAAAAUUUUAAUUCCAGCUAUCUCACCGUACCUUUUUUAUAGUUAUUAUUACUUAUAUUAUAUGCUUUUUAUAUUAAUAUUUUACUUUUUCAGCAAAAUUGUACUAGAGGGAUCUCAUCCUACAUAGUAAAAAAUACAACAAUAUAUCUUUUCACUUCAUCAAAAUUAGAAAAAAAAAAAACAAGGAAAGGAACUCCAUUAACAAUAUAAGUAUAUAUUUGCAUAUUCAUCAAAGUUAUACAUUACUAAAAAAAAUGUCAUUCCUACCUUAAUCAACCGAUUCACAAUUUAAAUUUUCAUAAAACUAAUAAGAAUAGAUGAAUAUAACACUCACAUAUGAUACAAUCAUAUCAACUUGUGAUUGAAAAAGUUACCAUCCAAGCCCAUGAUACGUAUUGUUUGCUUUGGCCCAACAAAUCUUACGAAUUUGUUCAUUGGAUUACGCAAUCAUACAACUCAUCCAAAAACGCACAUACCGUAUGAACUUCUGUUAUGCCUUGUAAAAUCUUUCACCUUUCCCUUCCAUUCUGAAAUGGAAUUCUCCUAAAAUGUCAUGUGCAUAUAUGAUAUAUCCUUAUUCGAAAGCGCUUACUAGCUAAACUAGAAGUCUGCAAGUCCUUCUCCAUGAGCGUUAUAAAAAAUAAAUAUAUGAAAAGACUAAUUUACAAAAAAAAAAAUUCCGAAAGAGAAAAAAAAAUGUUAAAUUCUCUUUUUUCAUUGUAUCCUAAAUUGUUAAGAAUGAAAAUAAAGGAAACCAAGAACAAAAAAAAAGGAUAAUAAAUAAAUAAAAAUAUCAAUGAUGUAUUUUAUUUUGAAUUGGAUUUGAAGAACUUCUAGGUUUUCUUCUUAAAUCAUUUUCCAAAGCUUUUUUCUCAUUCACAUUGCCAAUAUUUGUAGGAAUUGAAUUGAAAGAAACCAUUAAUCUUCUUGAAUAUUGGGAUUUUGUUUCUUCAAGAAUUAAUGUGUCUUCAAGUGAAAAAACCAUGAUGAAUAAAUGAGAGAAAAAUAGAAUUAAAGUAAGAAGAAAUAAUGUUCUAUGACUAUUUUCCAUAGUGUGGAGAACUUUAAUUUCAAAUGAAAAAUGGAGAAGUAUAUUUGGUUUUUUAUAAAAAAGAAAGAGGAAUCCAUUCUUGAUAUAUAGUUAAGUUAUGGCUUGUGAUUAAUCUGACAAAACAUGUGUAAAUGGAUAAAAUAUAAGAAAAAAAUGAUAGUAAUAUUUAAAGGACAGUCUAUAUAUAAUUUUUAAGAUUCACACCGAAAAAUCUCACUUUUAAAAAAUAAAAUACCAUUAAAAGAUUAACGGAGAAAAAAAGAAAAAAAAAGAAGAAUACUAAAAGUUCAAAAAGGGUUGAAGUGUGUCAAUCGUUAUCUUAACAGAUAGAUUAUCGUUGAACUCUAGGAAUAGCAUAAGCCCAUUACCACAAUUAUCUGAAAGUGAAUGUUGAAGUUUGUAGAAAUAACGUGAAUUGAUCACUUUUCGAUUUUAUCUUUAAAAAAUAAUUAUUGCAUAAUUUGCCUUUUAAAUGAACUACUCUUUGUUUUUUGCUCUUUACGAUUGAACUUAUGCUUGGAGAGGUAUAAGUUCGUUAGAAACUGAAAUCAUGUCCAGACGUAACUUAUGAGAUAUAUGAUACGAAAAUAUAAAUUUAUGCUCCGUACAAAAGAACAAAACUUCAAGACUAGCACAUGAAUAUAGGGGUAAAAAUGUAAAUGACCCCAUGAAAGCAACAAAACAUGUGAGACCUGAUUUGACUAAUAUUAAGUAGAUCUCUUUGAUUCAAAUCAUUUUUUUCUCUAAUUUUUAAGACUAUAUAUUAUAUAAAAGAAUAUGUUCAUGUGACUUUUCACAAGAUACCAAAUUAGUCCACUUUCUUAUGUGUACUUUUUCUUGUAUUAUAUUUUAAGCAUUUGAAUCUAAGGUUUUUCAGGAUCAAACAAGCACAGCUAAGGUUAGUUGGGAAAGAAAUAAGGAUGCAUGCUUUUAAACAAUAAUAAAUUAACAAUAUAAUAUGAAACUACGUUGUUCUGACUUUUCAAAAAUAUCGACGAGUGUGUGUUGGAUCCUCCUAAAAAUAGUAUAUUUUAUUUGAAGAAUUCGACAUGAGUGCAACAACAUUUUUGCAAAGUCCAAGCAACUUAAAUACACAGUCAGACUUGAUCAACAAUCGAUUUAUGUAACAAACUUUGACUAUAACAAAUAAAGGCAAACAAGAUGAGGAUGCUCAGAUGAAUGUAUGAAUAUACCAGAAAAGAUAGGAAUAAGAAUGAAGUUAUACAAGAUAAUUAGGUAGAAAUGGUCUGUGUCGAACAACAUGGGUGAAGCAAGAUUGAGAUAAUUAGGACAUGCUAAGAGGACGUGCAUGGAUGUACGAUUAAGAAUGUGUGAGAGGUUGACUAUAUCAGAUUUUUAGAGAGGUAAAUGUAGGUCGAAGAAGAAUGAGGGAGGUAAUUAGACAAUACUUGACACAUCUUUAGCCUUCUAAGGACAAAAUCUUAGAUACAAAGGUAUACAAAUCGAAGAUUAGUGUAUAUAGAACUUAUAAAUGUAAUAGAUAGUCAAGUGUUAUCGUACUUUUACGUGGGAAAAACAUGUUUCUAGUCUCCUCGGUUCAUCUUGUCCUUAUUUAUUAGUUUUAGUUAGUAUUUGCAUAGUAUCUUUUUCUUCUAUUUUUACUACUACUUGUUGCUUCUUUUGCAUUAUUCAUCUUGCUAUUUUGUUAUCACUAUAAUUUCACUCAUCCUAAUUUGAUUCGAUCAGAUCUUGUUGACUGAAUUGAUAUAUUAUUAUAUGUCAUAUUUCUUAGUCAAUAUCUUCCUACUCAGACAACGACAAAAAAAUAUUGCAAUCCAUCAUAAGUAAGACAAAUAUAUAGAAACAGAGAAAAUACUUCAGCUAAAUAGAGGAAACUGAAAUAGAAGGGCAAAUCGAUCAAUUUAAUUUUAAAUAUUCUUUAAAAAACAUAUUAAAAAAAAUACUUCAAAUAUUACUAGGAUGAAUCAGUUUAGUCUUUUAUGCAAAAAAAAAAAAAAAACCUAUAAAUCAUUCUAUUAUUAAUUACUCAUACAGUAUCAUUGUAUUGGUAACUAGUAUUUGUACUCGUGCGAUGUGCGGUUAUUAAGAAAAAAUUAGUUAUGUAAAAUUAUUAUCUUAUCUAUUUGAGCAUAUUAAAUCUUAUUUGUUUUGAUAAAACUGUAACUAUGAUUUUCCUUCCCAUGCAAUGUAUGUCAAUUAUAAAUUUUUUACUAAAUAAAUUAUGCUUUGAUUUUUCUAAUUUGCGUACAUUCUACCCUCUUUAAAUUCCACUUAUAAAACUACACUAGAUAUGUUGUUAUAAUCUUAUACUAUAACGUGUAAAGCUUUGUUGUUUGUAGUAGCGGUAUUAACAAUCGAAAUAUGAUCGAAAGAAAAAAUCUCAAUUUGUUGGAAAAUUUAGCUUACAACAAUAAAUUUAGUUUCUUAAUUGUGAAACGUUUAAUUACUGGAAUGUAUCCAAAUUCUAUUAUUAUAGUGUACACAUUUUGUGAAAUGACAUGUUUGCAUAUAACAACUAAAUAAAAUCUAAACGUCAAAUAUUGAUAUAGGUUUGCAACAACCACUCACACUAAAAUAGGCACAAAAAAAAGGUCGAAAUGAUGUUGUUAUAGAAAGAUUUUACCAGAGAGAACAAUUUUUUAAGUACGAUAACCAAUCAGUUCAAAUCAUGAAUCCAUCUAUGCACUUAAUGCAUAAAGUGCAUGUAGGUAUAACGGAGCUCUUCCAAUCUCUAAUGAAGGAGAUCCGCAACUUGAAUAGGACACAAGAAUCGAGACCAUCUCUACUCCUUUCUAGGUUUGUAAUGUCACAAUCGCGACCUACUGAUCUUCACUUCUAAGACACACGAGAAUCGAGACCUUCUCUACUCCUUUCUAGGUUUGUAAUGUCACAAUCGCGACCUAUUGAUCUUCACUUCUAAAACACAUGAGAAUCGAGACCAUCUCUACUCCUUUCUAGGUUUGCAAUGUCACAACUGCGACCUAUUGAUCUUCACUUCUAAGACACGCGAGAAUCGAGAAAAUCUCUACUCCUUUUUAGGUUUGUAAUGUCACAAUCCCGACUUAUUGAUCUUCAUUUCUAAGACACACGAGAAUCGAGACCGUCUCUACUCCUUUUUAGGUUUGUAAUGUCACAUUCGCGACCUAUUGAUCUUCACUUCUAAGACACGAGAAUCAAGACCAUCUCUACUUCUUUCUAGGUUUGUAAUGCCACAAUCACGACCUAUUGAUCUUCACUUCAAAGACACACGAGAAUCGAGACCAUCUCUACUCCUUUCUAGGUUUGUAAUGUCACAAUCGCGACCUAUUGAUCUUCACUUCUAGUACUUUUCAAUGAGUUCAAAUCAACCUUCAUGAAUAAGAAAUAAACGACCUAUAAGUAGAUCAUCGAGCUUGCGACUCUAUCUCUCUAUCUUUCGAUCGAUACACAGUUUCUUACGCGAUGCCUUUCAAGAGGAAAUGGUUGAUCAAUGCUCAAAGGAAACAAGCUAAUUGAAUUUAUAUUGGUAUGGAACUCGCGAAAAAAUGCAUUCUCCAACACAAAAUACGUGUGGAAAUGCUACAAACCCACCCCAUCCUUACCCGCACCCCACCCUCCGAAAAAAGGCGAUAUAAAAAGAGAAUAGCUAUACCUUUUACACAUUACUACAAGAACUUUAAGCUAAAAUUUCUAAUGCAUAUACAAGUUAAUAUCUUGUAUUAUAUAGUAGAAAGAAUUUAUGAGGAACAAGAAAGCAUGCCUACACCGGGACGAUAAGCCCAAGCUGGAGGCAGGCGCGCAUACUUCUCCAUGCCAGGUUGUUCGUCAAAUGGACGUUGCAUAACUUUCAAUAGUCGUCGGACCUCCCCAAAAUCUUCUUGUUCAGCUGCAUCUAUUGCACUUUGGCAUAAAUAGUUUCUAAGGAUGUACUUUGGAUUUACAGAAUUCAUCGAGGCCUUCCUCUCGUCGUCUGAUACACCACUAGUAGAGAGCUGUAGAGUAGAAUAGUGACUAGUUAAGCAUCUUGCAUGCAAGAAAAAAUUACAGAGAAGGAGAAGGGGCGGAGCCAGAUAGGGCCAAGGUUUCAUCCAAGCCCCCUUCGGCAGAAGAUUAUAUUGUUUAUAUGUGGUUACAAUUUGUCAUUCGAACAAAAUGACAAAUUGUAAACAACAGAGAUGGUUUCACGCCAGAAUCAUCAUCGUCAACACAACAAUUAAAAAUACAAUCAUAGUUGCAACAAAAUGGAGUUAUGUAUGUACUUUAAGCUUGUGCUUACAUCCCACUUCUUUCCCUUUUUUCUCUUUUUCUUUUUCCUCGUUUUUCAUUUUUAUGUUUUUACACUAUGGAGAGGCCGGGUGGAUCUAGGAUGGGUUCGGUAGUUAUAAGUUUCAAAAAAAAAGUUCAACUAUACCUAUUGGCUUGAACUAAAACAAAAUUGAAAUGUAUACGUAUUAGAUCAAACUUAUUCCAGAUCCACCGAUUUCUGCUCAUGUAAGCCUCUGAGGUCGGGAAGGGCAGGGACGUGGGGUGGUGGUGGUGCAGAGAUACUGAAGCCCUGAAAAUACAUAGAUCUGCAGAUGAAGUGAAUUAUCUUCUGGGAGAGUAAUUAUUUGACCUUCCCACCAACAGCAGCCCGUGUCUAAGGGGAACGGUGCAGGUGAGCAGGGGCGGAGCCAGAGGGGUGCAAGGGGGAUCCAUUGAAUCCCCUUCGUUGAAAAAUUACACUAAUUUAGAACCUUUUUUUUAAUCCCCUUGAUUUCCUGACUCCGCCACUGCAGGUGAGCAAAUAUCUUCCACACAAAUUAUGAGAGCACCAUGAAAAUAGUCUAAAAGCAAGGGCCUUCAUAGCAUCGCUUGACCCUUAGUUAUUAGUGAACAAGUUAUGAAAUGGGAUUUAACUUGCAAAGAUGAUAUGACUUUACAAUGCACUACGAGUCUACGACUGAGCUCAAGAAGAAGAUGACUCCUAAUUCAAAGAAAAAAAGAUAAUUGUACAUACCUCCUGUAUGUAGGAUUUCACCCAGCUUGUCCAAGCUUCCUUGCGCUCCUGACCAAUAUCCAAUAGAGCAGCUUUCAGAGGAAUCAGUAACUGCUUAUCUGAAAUUGUAGGAUCGGCUUUGAUGUUUGAUAGUAAUCGGAAGAAGUUUGUGUAAUCAACUUUAUCGACAGCCAUAUUCUUAAGUAGUUCACCAAUCAUGUGUUUAUUGUACUUGACCAAACCAAGCUUUUUGGUCAUGAUAACUUGAUAGUCAUCCAUAAAUUUGAUGCCAUACCUAAAAAAGUGGAUAGAUGAAACGUCACUCAACAGUAUAAAGAUGAAGACCAGCAACGGAAAGAAUACACUCCAGCAAAUGGUAGUAUUUUUGGUCACCUCUCCAUGGCAUAAUUUGCCUCCUUAUCAUUUAGCAACUGUGCAGUAGAUAGAGUAGUAGCAAACUGAGCAACAUUCCAUAAACCUAUAUCCGGCUGAUUCGCAAAGCAAUAUCUUCUGCCAGGUAGAUCAGUGGUAUUUGGUGUGAAACUGGGAUCAAAUGCGUCUAAAAAUCCAAAAGGGCCAUAAUCAAUGGUGAGGCCUAACACACUCAUGUUAUCAGUAUUCAUCACUCCGUGUGUGAAACCAACACCUUGCCACCUCGCAAUCGUGGAAGCAGUCCGCUCGGCAACUUCCACUGCCCAUGCUGAAAAAAUGAACCCAUACAUUAACGCAUGUGAGAAAAGUAAUUGUCAAAAUAUACAAAUAAAAAUAUUUUUUCUUCAGUUCCAUAACAAAAAUGCACAAUAAAUAGCACAGAAUGUAAUGAAAAUGAAGUUAGAACUAUGUUACAAGAAUACAUGUAAACUCCAAGUCCAUUUUUCCCAAUGUCGGAUGAACUAAAAAUACUUACAAACAGAAAUUAGAACAUAAGAUUCUUUUCUCUUCUAAGACCAAAGGUAGCAUCUUAUUACGACAAUAGGCACUUCCUUUCCUACAACAACAACAUACCCAGUGUAGUCCCACAAGCGGGGACUGGGGAGGGGAGGUUAGAGUGUACUGUUUCCAAUAGACCCUCAGCUCAAGGAAAAGCAUUUCAAAGGACAUUCUACCCCUCCUCAGACCCCAAUGUUAAAUUUCUGGAGUCUAGAACUUUGCUUGGUACUGUAUUAAUCUGGACGGUGGAGCUCUAGUAGAUCAUCACAAAGACCACACAAAUGACCAGCAAAAAAUUGUAUUAUCCUCGUUCACGUAGAUAUGGAAGGAUUUUGAAGUCCACUGGCAGAAACAGGUAAAAAUGAGGAGGUCAUUAAGACUUUGCUGACAAAGGAAAUACUGAGACAAGUACUAUCCAGAAGAGGCAAUUACUAUCACUGACAUUUAGCACAUAAACAAUCCAUCCGUACAUCCACUUCAAGAUAAUCAAUAUUACCGCAUUGUAUGGAGACCAAAAAGUAGAAUCUUUUAAUGACAAUAAAGUCCUUCCUUUUCUCGACACUAAGUGUUUUAAAUUCAGAAAGUAGAAGUUUUCCUCAAACUAACAACCAGAUGGAUGUUAGAAGCCUGACAGAUCACUACCAAGCCAGUACAAAUGGCUGGUAAAACACAUUAUAUUAUAUACCUUCCACUUAGACAUGGGAGGACAAAAAGGACCACUAGCAGAGGCAUAUAAAAACAUUAAGAAUCAUGCUGACAACUGGAAUGUUGAGACAAGGACUACUCAUCAAGAGGCAAUACCAUCACUCUCUUUGGCCACACCCAAUUCAGCAUAAAAAAGGAGAACAGAUUCCACACAGGCAUAAACAAUCCACCCCUAUUAUCCACUUCAAGAAAACCAAUAUAUUACCUGCAUAUUUGUUUGAAGUUAAAUCCACAACCGAAUCAUCUUCCUCGCCUGUGCUGAAUGAUAUGCUUUCACUCUUACUCAUGUUCUCUAGAUGGGGGAAGUGAAGUCUAAUUGUGUAAUCUGCUAAAGUACGCACAAUCUCAAGGUCCUCUUUACCCCUAAAGGCAUGUAGUUGGUAAGAGCCAAAGCGAAGAAAGGAUUCAGCAACUCUGCAGACAAUGGCACCAGGCUCAUCCUUUGGAUUCCCGCUGCAUGAAUAUGAAUAUAGUCAUGCAUAGAAAGAACAAAAAACAGACUUGAAUGGAUAAAAAAACAGCUUAAUCCUAUAACAUGGCUCCCUAUACAUACUCCAAGUAUACAAUGAAGAUACUUUAUAGGUGGAUAGGUGGUUUUCCACCAAUUUUAGCGAAUAGAUUGCAAGUAACCUUGCUGAUUAAAUGUCACAAAAACUAUAAAAGAGUAACAUACUCAUAAAACAUGUCCCUGCUGACAUCUUUUCCCGUCAUUACAAGACAGAGUGCUCUUGUAGUUGGGAUUCCAAGACUAUGCAUUGCUUCGCUGCAGAGGAACUCCCGGAUACUACUCCGAAGAACUGCAAGACCAUCAGCAAAACGGCUAUAUGGGGUCUUCCCCGCACCCUUUAGCUGCAGCUCCCAUCUUUCAGACUUUGAAUUCAAAACCUCUCCAAGAGUUAUUGCUCGACCAUCACCUAGCUGACCAGCCCACAUCCCAAACUGAUGUCCUCCAUAGUUCUGGGCAUAAGGCACACUGCAGAAGCAAAUUCAACUUAACAUGCUGUCAGACUACUAAAAGUUUAAGCAGAUCCAAACUAGAGAAGUAACACUUACGCCCUGACUAAAGGUGAUGCCCCUGAGAACAGAAGUGGAAAAUCAGGCCUCUCAAAUCUGAAAGGUUAAAAGAACUCAGCGUCACUUCCAUCACAAUACAUUAGAAAGGACAAUCUUCAGCAAGCAUUAAAACCUCACUCUUUAGGAUCCAACUCAAGUAACUCAGCUACUGAUUCUGACCACACAACGAGCUGAGGAUUCUCUACCUCAACAGAAGGCAACAUUUUCGUAUAGCACGCAUGCAAUACCUACAUAAGUACAAUAAUUGACUCCAAUAAAUAACUUGCAACAUAAUUCUACACCUCAAGGCAACAAUAUCAACGUCAUCUCAUCAUCUUCAAAGUCAAAGGGAACUGCAGCCCUUACUAAAUAUGUAAAACCAGGAUUUCAAUUUUCUUGCUAUGCAGACACUACUAGCAGAAGAUUCACCUUUCUCAUUUAGCUAGGAGCAAUGAAACAAGUCUAUUUUUUUUCUUUUCUAGAAAGGUUGUAAACCAUUCCAAUAUUUCCAAAUGGGAAUUGAUUCACCGAACUUACCUAGUACCUGAAACGUGGAAUUGAAGAAAGGGAACCUCAACUAAAACUAAUUUUAAUCUAUCAAGAUAAUUGGUGGGAACACAACUUCUACACAUUAAAACUGAAAGGGACUGCAGCACUUAUUACAAAUACAACAUCAACAUUUCGACUUUUUUCCUUUGCGAUCAAAGAAAUUGUCUCAUAAACUAUCAGAAGAUAAAGUGAUGAACCCUUUCCACAAGUAAGAGCAUUAGAAGUCCCAACUUGAUUUGAUACGAACCAGGGAUACCCACACCCAAAAUCUAGCUGUUAAGGUGGGAGAGCCCAAAGCUGUAUAAGCUACACAUCAGCUCCCCAUCUAACCGAUAUGGGACUCAAGUCCCAUACCUUGCAAUAGGAUCAUAACAAACCACCACGCUCCGCAUCCAUUGUCCUCGACAACUCCACACUAGGUAGCUUUCACUCUACCACAACUCCGGCAGGCACGAAGGGUGGUGGGUGGCUUUGAUACCAUUGAUACUACCCAGGGAGAACCACACCCCAAAAGCUAGCUAUUAAGGUGGGAGAGGCUAAGGCUAUAUAAGAUCCACAUCAGCCCCCAUUUAACCCAUGUGAGACUCAAGUCCUAUACCUUACAAUAGGAUCAUAACACAGACUCAAAAUCAGUGAAGAAUUCAUGAAAUUCCAACUAUUGAAUUCACAACAACCAAUUCGAUAAAGAUCACAAAUUUAAUAAAAAUCCAAUUUUAAUUCAACAGAAAAAAUACAUCUGUUCUUCGAUCAGUAGGCAGAUCACAAACAAAAGUAUGAUGGUAGGAAAGUAUGAAUAAUAAUACUGAUAAGGGAACUAGACAACGCUCGACCUUCUACCAUAAACCUCGACCUCCAUAUCUAGUUCUCGGUAAGCUACACGAGUAUCAUUCAUGUCUAAUCACCUCUUCCCAAGACUUCUCUAGCCUACCACCCUUCGGGGUGGCCCAGUGGUUUGAGCUUGGGACUUCCAUGUUGGAGGUCUCAAGUUCGAAACCCCUUGCCAACGAAAGCAAGGGGUUUGCCUUCUGGGUCGAGCUCGUCGCACCAGGCUUGGCUAGUGCGGUUUACCUCUCCUAUGUGGUUUGCGAGCUAUUGCAUAGGAGCGGGGGUUUUACCCUGUGCGCACCCAAAGGGUAGCAACUGCGGGNNNNNNNNNNNNNNNNNNNNNNNNNNNNNNNNNNNNNNNNNNNNNNNNNNNNNNNNNNNNNNNNNNNNNNNNNNNNNNNNNNNNNNNNNNNNNNNNNNNNNNNNNNNNNNNNNNNNNNNNNNNNNNNNNNNNNNNNNNNNNNNNNNNNNNNNNNNNNNNNNNNNNNNNNNNNNNNNNNNNNNNNNNNNNNNNNNNNNNNNNNNNNNNNNNNNNNNNNNNNNNNNNNNNNNNNNNNNNNNNNNNNNNNNNNNNNNNNNNNNNNNNNNNNNNNNNNNNNNNNNNNNNNNNNNNNNNNNNNNNNNNNNNNNNNNNNNNNNNNNNNNNNNNNNNNNNNNNNNNNNNNNNNNNNNNNNNNNNNNNNNNNNNNNNNNNNNNNNNNNNNNNNNNNNNNNNNNNNNNNNNNNNNNNNNNNGCUGCGGGUUUCCCUUGUCAUAAAAAAAAAAGACUUCUCUAGCCUACCUCUACCUCUCCUCAUACCCACUCUAGCCAACCUCUCACACCUCGGACAUUUUUGCAUCUUCUCCUCAUACGCCCAAAGCAUCUCACCCUCGCAUCCCUCAUCUUGCCCACCACAGAGGCCACUCCUACCUCACCCCAACUUGAAAUCACACUCCUCGAAAUCAGUGUACAAUUCAUGAAAUUCCAACUAUUCAAUUUACAACAGCAAUCCAAUAAAGAUCAUAAAUUCAACCAAAACUCAAUCUCAAUACAACACAAAAAAAUACAAAUACUAACAAGAAACAGAAAAGGGGAAUAAAAAAAAACCUCUCUUGGAAUGGUAUCUGUUCUUGGAUCAGCAGGAAGUUCACGAACAAAAGAAUGAUCCCAAUUGAGCUCUUCAAGUUUCAACAUACGUUUACUGUUACUUCCAUCAUUUCCCAAACUCUGCUUCUUCAAUUUGUCAGCAACUGAAUCAACCGUCACAGCAGCUGAUUCCAUUGACGGUGAGGAAGAAAACAACGCACGGCGGCGAUUGGGCUGAAUUAGGUAUGAAAAGGGGUUCUUCAGGUGAUGAAAAAAAUUGGGUCGAAGAGAUUUGGAGAAGAGAAGAGCGGUAGAUGAAGAAGAAGAAGUAUGAGAGAGUGAAACUGAUAUUCUGGAAAGUAUUUGCAUACUUGUUUGUAUGUUUUAAAUUUAAUGGGGACUGAAAUGAAAUAGUACUAAAGUAUGUUUUAUUAUUUUGAGAAAAUUGAAACUUUGGUCUCUCAACUAUGUUAAAAAUACACUUUGUCCCUAUUUAAGUUUUAAAUUGAAGUAUUUAUUUGUUCUGAAUAGAUUUUAAUUAUUAAGAUAUUGAAUAAAGUCUUAAUAUAUUUUUGUGAAUAAUUUUCGACUUUUCGUCGACACUUUGUGCAUAACUGCCAACUAUCACUACUAACCACCUUUGUAAUUACAGUUGUUGUCAACCAUGACCACCAUCGUCAACUAUCCGCCACCAUACCAAUCAUUUAUGCCAUCACAAUUACCAUAGAUGGCAAUAACUAUUGUAAGUAGCUAUCAUAUUUACCUCCUCCAUCAUUAUAAUUAUAUUCAUUGUCGCGAUCAUCACCACCAUCAUUAUCAAUCACUAGCGAUACUACGGUCAAUUCCUACUAUCAACUAUCUCCACAAUCGCAAUUAGCACCAUUGUCAGCUACCACAAAUAGCAUCGUUUAUCUCUACACAUCCUUUGAUCACCAUCAACACUGUCAACCACUAACAUCAACCAACUCCAUUGUUAUAAACCACAUCUAUCAUCACAACUACCAGCAUCAACCUCACCAACAAUCAACCACCUUUGUUAUCACAAUCAUCAUAUUACCAUCACUACCAAUCACACAACUAUUACCUCUAUUAUUAAAAUUAAAUAUAUUGUCAUUGUUGUCACCUUCGUCAUCACCAUCAGUCACUAUUCCUAUUAUGGUUAAUUUUUACUACAAAUCAUCUCCACCCCACAUUUUUCAGUUACCACUAUCAAUAUCGUCAGCUAUUAAUGUCAACCAACUCCACCAUUACAAUUAUCACCACUAAUCACUUAUGUCAUCACAAUCACCAUAAAAUCUAAAUUAAUCGUAUUGUUACCUCUUAAUUAUUAGGUUGUCCAAUUAAGGACUUCCUUUGUCUCUUUUGAACAAAUUACAUUGAUUUGAUUAGAAAAAUAUAAUCAAUCGGAAAUUUUAUCGCCGAUCCUAAAUUAUUCGAUAUUGAAGCUUGAAUCACAAAACAACUACUACAAGAAGGAAAGGUAUUGUGUCGUUGUGUGCUUAAUUUAUAUGACGAGGACCAAAAUUAGACAUAUUCUAUGUGUGAGGAGCCAAAAUUGCAAUUUACUCUUUUAUGUUUUCUUGGAAUUUACUAGUUUUUUUAGGGUCAUAGUAUUUAUUUAUUUUUAUAUAAUUUUCUUUUGGUGUUUGAGACUUUGACUUUUCAUUGUAGGUCAUUGUCCUACUUAUUUUGGGAUUAUGCGUUCAAUUUGUUGCUUAUUUUCUUUCUUUUUCUCUCAUUUCAUUGUCUUGUUUGACUUCUUGAUAAAAUUAUAACUAUACAAAGAAAAUUAACACAAUACAUGUAAGAGCAAUUUAUUGUCAAUCUCCAAAUCAUUAUCUAGUAUGGAUAAAUAUGUAUUGAUAUAUUAUCUUUAUGUCAAAUCAAUGAAUGAUAUAUACUUGAAAAUACUAAAAGUAUGCACCAUCUAGCAUAGUUGUCCUAUUAUUCAAUGUUGGUAAAUAAAUAAAGUAGAGUUUAGGAGGCCCCUCUAAUAAGAUAAGAAUUUGGAUAUGUUGCUAAAUGAUCUAGAUAUUACUGCUCUUAUGUGAACUUACUGAUCUCAAAUUCGAAUGAAAGAAAAGACUGUGAUAGACUAACAAGAAAGAAAUCACCUAGUGUUUUCACGCUUCCCUAAAAUCAAGAAUGGAAUCUUAGUAACUGCAAUGUUUUAUUUGUCUGAAUAUAUUGAUCCAUAUGAUGUUGAGCAAUAUACAACUUUAGAGCUAUGUUGUUCAGACUUAUCAAGAAUGUCAUCAACAUGCUCAUAUUGCUAAUCUCAAAUUCAAAUGAAAGAAAGGACUAUGAUAGACUAACGAGAAGAAAUCACUUAAUGUUUUUGCGCUUCCCUAAAAUCAAGAAUGGAAUCUUAGUAACUGCAAUGUUUUAUUUGUCUGAAUAUAUUGAUCCAUAUGAUGUUGAGCAAUAUACAACUUUAGAGCUAUGUUGUUCAGACUUAUCAAGAAUGUCAUCAACAUGCUCAUAUUGCUAAUCUCAAAUUCAAAUGAAAGAAAGGACUAUGAUAGACUAACGAGAAGAAAUCACUUAAUGUUUUUGCGCUUCCCUAAAAUCAAGAAUGGAAUCUUAGUAACUGCAAUGUUUUAUUUGUCUGAAUAUAUUGAUCCAUAUGAUGUUGAGCAAUAUACAACUUUAGAGCUAUGUUGUUUGGACUCUUUAAAGAAUGUCAUCUGAUGCGUGUUGGAUCCUUUAAAAGUAGUCUGACACGGGUGUGACAACAUUUUUGGAGAGUCUGAACAACAUAUCUACAGAGGACCUUAGCAAAUAGUUCCUAAAAACACAUUUGAGAAAGAUAAUCCUUUGAUUGCUGUCCAAGACCUGCUACUUCAAUUGAGCUUCAAGAUACUGCGAAGCCAGAGCUUGUGAAAUCAUUGACUGCUCGUCUCCACCGCGGUCCAGUUCCAACUAACAAGAGCAAGAAAUUCCGUUUUAGAGAUAUCAAAACACAGUCAAAUGUUAAAUUCUAUCUCGGAGAAGAAGAAAACGAGUAGUUUACAUGAAAACGAAGACAAAUGAAUCAGCAGGUGCACAAUGAACUAUUAUCUCAAUAUAGUGAAAUACCAAGGAUAUUUUGCAAAUAUCUUGUUAAAAAUAGCUUGUGGAAAUUCAUCGGUAUGUGUUUCGAGAUAAUAAGUUGAUAAGGAAAAUUCUCGUUAGAUGGUGUACAACAGAAUUGGUUAUGCAUAUCAAAGCAUGUUAAAAAUUUACCUGAUCGUUUUCGUUGGUGACGUUAGCUGAUAAACGACAAUCCUUUUCCUUUGCUUGACAGCAUUCGGUUCAAUGUUAAGGCCUCUAAGAACAAUGUCUUACAACCAUUUCUGAAGCCACGUACAACAGUGGCUCAGAAGUUAUCUGACCAAAGAACUCGUGAUGCACAAAAUUACAUUUUGGCUCAUUGCUAUUGCUAGUCUUUGAACUAUGAAGCUAUCGCGCCUUCUCCAACGAGGCAAGUAGGUUUCGGAGCUCUGAUGCUUUGUUAGUCAUUCCAUUUAUUGAAUAUGCUUUAAUCAUACUUCUGUAUGUUAUCUUAUCUGGCUUACAUCCACUUUGUUCCAUCAUCUCAAGCACCCCUUUCAACUCUGUGAAGCAUCCCAUCAUCCCAUAUGCAUCCACUAGGCAGUUAAAAAACACGGUGUCAAGUGCCACGUCAGAAUUCUCAAUAAACCGCAAAACAGCUCCAAGUUUUUCAGCUUUGCCAGCUUUCCCAUAAGCUCUUACAAGAGAACAAAGAGUAACACAGUUUGGUUUUAUCCUCUCAGACUGCAUCAGCCUAAAAAGAAAUUCCAUUUGCUUUAAAUCUCCAGCCCUUCCAAAUGCAUCUAUUACGAUAUUGUAAGUAACUAUGGUCCAUGAAAAAUAAUAUUUCUGCAUAAACUCCAUCACAGCACCCAUUUUCUCGUAAUUUUCUGUUUUCCCGUAUGAAUCUAAGAGUAUGUUGAAUGUCUUGAUACUAGGUUCAAUUCCAGCACUCUGAAACUUCUCAUAGCAUUUUUCCAUCAUUUCUAUUUGCCCGCUGCCACCAAAUGCUCUCAAUGUAGAGUUCAUGGUCCACACAUCGGGCUUACAGUCUCUUCGCCGCAGCAUUUCUACAAGUGUGGAUUCCAUCUCUUUGAACCUUUGGCAAUUAAAGAAAAGAAUCAAUCUCCCUAUCAUAGAAAACUAAUGCCAGGCACCUACCUCGAGAAAAUAGUAAUCAAAGGAUACAAAAACAUUUUCUCAGCAAAGAUGUCACAAAACCGAAGUUAGAUAUGAUUGUGCAGCUUAAGGUUUUCGAUCUGAUAAUCUACAUAAUGUGUUUCAAUUGUUUCAUCUCUCAUUUUGGAUUUCGUAAGUUGAUAGAGACUCAUUUCUAGUUGUGUUAUGAUUAGAACUUCCAAUGAAUAGAACCAUAACAAUGAAUAGCAAUCAAACCUUUUCGCUUUGCCAUAGGAAUCAAUAAGAGUAUUAUAUGUUACUGUAUUGGCCUUGAUCCCCAUGCAUUCCAUGUCGGAAAGCAGGAUUUGCACUUUGUCGAAGUCAUAAACCUGCAGGCAGGAUUUUAUCAGGAUGCUAUAUGUGAAGACAUCGGGGAGGCAGUUCGGAAUGUUCUUCAUCUCUUCCAGGAUAGAAAAAGCUUCAUGAAAGCGACCACUACGGCUAUAGGCGGACAAAAGAGCAGUGUAAGCUUCUUGAUUCACGACACAGCCUUCCUCCACCAUCAUCUCGAAUAAAGAUUGAGCUUUCUCAGGUUCCUUACAUUUUCCAAGCAUGACAAUUAAUUUGAUAUAAAUGCCUGGAUUGGGCCUGUACCACAACUGCUCCUGGAGGAGUUCAAAGACCUGAUGGAAAAAAAAAAUCACGAUAAUAAUGGAUAGAUUCUUGCGCGUCUCUACAGAAUUUAGCAACACCGGCAACCAUAAGCAAAUGUUUCUGAACUAUCAAAACUCCAACUUGAAUUCCAAAGUAAAGAAACAAAGAGCACAAAAAUAUAGUCUGUGCUUCAAAUUUGUUGUGCAAUAUGCAGUUAUUAUUGUACCUUUCUCAGUUCAGAUAAAAAAACCACACCAACUCCAACUUGGAUUCCAAAGUUAUGAAACAAAGGGGAAUUUGUUACACUUUACCUAUUUUAUUGUAUUGUAUUAUUAGUUCAGAUACUAUGUUUGUUUUGGUUGUUACUUAAAUUGUAUUGUAUCGUAUCGUAUCGUUUCGUUUAAAAUCCAUAGUUAGGUAACAACGGAAAGUUCCAUUUUAUGUAACGACUGAUUUGGUGUGAUUGCGUUGUUACCUUAAUAUAUUCUUCUCAUUUUAUCUUUACUUAUUAUUUGAUUAUCUUAUUUCAUCCUUUAUCGUACAUUUUCGACCUAGUUCUACCUCGUACUCUACUUUUCUCGUAGAUUUAUCAAUUAAAUUGUUGAAGUGUGACAUUACGUAAUGACGGAAAACAAUACUAUCUAUCCAAACAUUGUAUUCAAUAAAACAAUACAAUACAACACAAUACAUUAUGAAACAAUAGGUAAUAACCAUCCAAACAAUACGUGGCGUAGUUGGUUGGCUACCUUAACUUUCACGAGAGUUCGAUUCCCCUCCCCCAUUUCCCCUUCCCCACAAAAAAAAAGUUAGUAACAAAAAUAUGAAAGCUCAAUGUGGUGUUCAAUAUGCAGUUACAAUGGUGCAGACAAAAAAUUGCACUAUGACUAUCAAUUCCCAGAAAAAUUCCAACUUGGAUUCCAAAAUUAAGAAACAAAGAGCACAAAAACUGAACAUGUGCUUCAAAUGUGAUGUACAAUAUGCAGUUACAAUAGUACCUACCUCAUUCCAAGUUCCAAAAUUAAGAACCAAAAAGAGUGAAAAAACUCAAAAUCCCCAGUUGGGUUCCAAAAUUAACAACCAAAAGAGUGAAAAAACUCAAAAUCCCCAGUUGGGUUCCAAAAUUAACAACCAAAAGAGUGAAAAAACUCAAAAUCCCCAGUUGGGUUCCAAAAUUAACAACCAAAAGAGUGAAAAAACUCAAAAUCCCCAGUUGGGUUCCAAAAUUAACAACCAAAAGAGUGAAAAAACUCAAAAUCCCCAGUUGGGUUCCAAAAUUAACAACCAAAAGAGUGAAAAAACUCAAAAUCCCCAGUUGGGUUCCAAAAUUAACAACCAAAAGAGUGAAAAAACUCAAAAUCCCCAGUUGGGUUCCAAAAUUAACAACCAAAAGAGUGAAAAAACUCAAAAUCCCCAGUUGGGUUCCAAAAUUAACAACCAAAAGAGUGAAAAAACUCAAAAUCCCCAGUUGGGUUCCAAAAUUAACAACCAAAAGAGUGAAAAAACUCAAAAUCCCCAGUUGGGUUCCAAAAUUAACAACCAAAAAGAGUGAAAAAACUCAAAAUCCCCAGUUGGGUUCCAAAAUUAACAACCAAAAAGAGUGAAAAAACUCAAAAUCCCCAGUUGGGUUCCAAAAUUAACAACCAAAAAGAGUGAAAAAACUCAAAAUCCCCAUUUGGGGUUCCAAAAUUAACAAUGAAAAACACGCACCUUAAGAGCAGAUUCCCAACGCAAAGCAGUAAUACGUUCAUGAAGAGCUUCAAGAACAGUACGAGGCAAUAGUUUCUUCGAAUUCCCUUUCUUCUUCUUAUACUCAAUCACUGCUUUAGCAGCUUCUCUUCGAAGAAUAAUCGAUACAGCUUUCUGUGAAGCUAUCUUUUUGUUCGUUUCCUCUUUCCUUUCCUUUGCUUCCUUCACCUUCAGCUUCUCAACCUCCAUUGAAGAGGAAUCCGGUUUGGAUCUGGGUACGCUAACUUUCCGGUAUGUUAACGGGUCAUUCCGGCAGGUUAACGGGUCGGUUCUUGGUGGUCCGAAUGAUGAUGGAGGAAUUGGAUUAGAGGGUCCGAAGAAGGAAGCCAUGGCUGAAAAUAAGAGGCCGAUUUUUUUUUCUUCAUAUCAUUAGUCACUAAAAAGAUAUUAUAAUUGUGUGGGUUGGGUCGGCUCGGGUCAAAUUAGGAUGGGAUGAGACUAGACGGGACGAGUUGAUGAGACUUUUAUUUUGUUUACGUGGUUAGAAUGAGUUAGAGUUUUUACGGAUUUAUGUGAAUUUGUUCCGUAAUUGUAUCAUUCCUUAAUAUUAAUUGUCGAAUUUUAGGCUAAAUUCAUCCCUCAAAUAUAACUUAAACUUAGGUACAUCAUUAUAAUAUAAUUGUGAACGAAAAACAUUUUUUAAUUAUUUCAAAACUUGCAUAAACAUCCUUUCUGUUAACUACUGUUAAAAAACUGACAAAAACAAUUACAGACUUCCCUCAAAUCCUCAUAAUGAUGAGGUAUACAUUGAUAGUUUCUUAAAUUUACAAAUAAAUUUUAUUUGGACAUUCAAAUUACUAUAACAUAUUUCAACAUAAGACAUAGUAAAAUAUAUAGGUAUAAGGCACAAGCAUUCCCUACACUAUGACCGAAAUCUCACAGACACACCUUAACUAAACUAAGGUCCUAUUACCCCUAAAUCCAUUUUUUUUUGUAAUUUUAUACACCUUUUUAGUUUAUGUGGCUUUCAAACAUCUCCCACGCACCUCAACUGUGUGGAGUCACAGAAUGCGUCACGUUAGCCAAAAAGUGUAUAAAAUUACAAAACAAAUGAGUUCAGGGGUAAUAUGACCUUAAUUUAGUUAAUGUGUGUCUCUGGAAUUUCGAUCAUAGCGUAGGGGGCACUUGUUUCUUUUCCCAAAUAUAUAUAUUAAGCAUCUUUAGUUCAAAUUUUGAAUUUUCUUUUAGCGUGUAUUUUCAAAUAUUCAUUAUGUAGAUAAAUCAACUAUUUAAAAUAACUCAUAUUUUUUAACUGUACGAGUUAGUCUUAAUAAGCCUUUAGUAACUCAGGAUCUAAUUUCAAUUGAAGAUGAUGUAUAAUUAAAAGAGAUGAUAUAUUUAAUGUGAUUAAUUUAUCUGACACACUUAAACUACACUUUUUUUUUUCAAAAUUCGAACAAAAACUAUAGAAUAUAAAUAUUUUAUUAUAUAUUCAAUCACUCAAUUACAAUAAAUAUCUAAAUAAAAUUUGUUGGACAUGUCAUGUCAUGUAUCAAGCCUAUAGUUUUUUCAUACUUAAAGUCAUUUUUUUUGUUUUUUCACUCAGUAUUUCAAAUCCACAUUAAAAUCGUAAUUAAAUCUAAAUAACACACUAUAAUAUUUAUUGUGAUGUUCCUAAUAAAAUUUUCUCUUAACAAUAAACUCAAAUUCAAACCUUUUCAUUCAAAGUAAAACAGUCUCAUUACUACAUCACUAUCCGUCAGUUACUUUCAAAUAGAACUUGAGUGGCAUCUAUUGAAAAAAAAAUGGCACUAAACUCAAGACAAAAAGCCAAUCUUUAUCUAAACAAGAAACCAUUUUAGUAAUGCCCACAGUAUUGAUUUUUACAAUCUGAAUAUUUUCUUCUUAUCCACAUUCAAUAAUAUUCACAAAAAAACUAUACAAAUUCACCCAAAAAUUGAAAUCAACAAAAAAAAAUCAAUUUUUGAAAACCCCCUUUAGAUAGAAGAGCAAAAUCAAAUCUUGAUUUGCCCCUUUUUGUGUUGUUGUUUAGAUAGAAGAGAAAAAAAUCAAAUCUUGAAAACCCCUUUUUGUUCUAAUGGGUAAAGGGGGAAGUGAUGAAAACAUGGCUGCUUGGCUUCUUGGUGUUAACACCCUCAAGAUUCAGCCUUUCAAUCUCCCUGCUUUGGGUAUUUUUUUUAAUCUACUCUUUCUUGAACUUAUAUUUGUUGUAAUUGUGAAUUUUAUCGUAAGGUCUAUGUAUACUCUAUCCUUGUUAGACCCCGCUGUGUGGAAUUAUAUUGAGUAUGUUAUUGUUGUUGUAAUUAUGAAUUUUGUUUGAAAGAUUUGACCUUGGGAGCUUAGGGUUGACUUUUUAGUUCACUUUGAUUAGAUGUUUUGGUCAGAUUGGGCGAGUUGAGUUAUGACCCGUAUUAUUUAAUGGGUCAAACCCCAUUUUGAUGAGAUGAAGUUUGUAAGUUUCUAUAACGAUCUCAAGUUAAUAUAUAGUAAUAACUGGUUCCUAGUCGAAUAUUGAGUUUCAAUAUGUCUUUAGUAUAGCUGUCUUGUUUGAUAAUUUGACCAAAUAUAGCUCCUAUAGUAUGCUUUUAUAGUAGUGUUAUCAAAAGCAAAAAGCACAGAAAGACAAGGUUUGUUGGGGGCUUUAAGUGCAAAGCGCAAAUAAAGUGUGAGCUUUAAUGAAAAAGGCGCAAAGGGAGAAAAAAAAUGCAAAUAUAUAUAUUUAGUCUAAGGCUAAUAAUUAUAAGAUGACAAAUAUACGAACAAAGAAAUUGAAUAAACUUUAUGAUAAAGUAAAAUAUCAAUUAUGUACCUUCGACUCUUUAGUAGACGAUCUCUUGAAAACAAAAGGUAUGUCUUAGAAUCUUGAUGACGAUACUGAAGUGCUCAACAUGUUUUACGUGCUGAAUUCUGCCUGCAUUUUGACAUGUUUUACGUGCUGAAUUGAGCCCAGUAAGCUUGAACACAAAGAUUACCUAUUUUACGUGCUGAAUUCUGCCUGCAUUUUGACAAUAUUACAAGUUGAAUUCUGCCUGAUGAUGAUAUUGUUGCCACUAGUUUAUCAAUCAGUGGGACCCUGAUAUGUAAAUGGGAGUAAACCAGUGUAUCUUCUUCUCUUUCCUCUGCAUUGUUUUUAAAUUAAAACAUUGUCGUCUGAUUUGCUUUGGUCUUUGUGUCUGAACGUUGCUAGAGUUUGAGGUACUGCUAUUCCGGCAAAGGUAUUCCAUUCUAUCAUGUGAGGAAUUAAUCUAUACCUCGGGUAAUGUGAGGAGAUUAAAUUCUUUAAAGACACCUAGUGAAUUCUGCGGGAUCAGAAUAAACUUUGGUUUAAAUGUUACUGGUUUUGUUUCUGUUUAAGCAUUACUGUUUACAUAUGGAUUCUGGUUUUAAUUAUUCUGGAUAAGAACACAGGGACUAACAUUUGUUACUUCAUAGGACCCCAUGAUGUUAGAGUUAGGAUGAAGGCUGUCGGUAUUUGUGGAAGUGAUGUUCAUUACCUCAAGGUAAAAGCUUUCUUCUGAUUCUCUAUUUUGAUAGCUUGUCUUCAUGGUCAAUAAUUCUUGUUGGGAUUUAGGGUUGGUGGGUGUGGUGUGGUUUAUAUUAUGGUUAUGUUUGCAUUGACUCUACAAUGAUGGCAUAUGAUUGUGGUGUAUACCUAGCAAAACGUGUAAAAGGAAUGAAGAAACUAGCUUGAUGGGACUUCCAUUGUUCAAAUGUAAAAAAAUAUGUUAUAUGGAUCCGAACACUAUUUUGCUUCUGGUAUUGGUAUGAUCACCAUCAAUCUUUUUUAGAAUGUUUUUAUUGGGUUUUGAAAGGUUAAUGUGAAAUGUCCAUACCUAUAUCAUCAUAUACAUGUUUGCUAUGUUGCUCGGACUCUCCAAAAAUGUUGUUGCACUCGUGUUGGUUUUUUUGGGGGAUACGACAUGAAUCCAACCACAUUUAUGAGUAGUCCCAGUAACUUAGCUGUUUGCAAAGCAAAAUGAAGUGUAUUGUAACAUGGUGAAGUUCUGUUACAUUUUCUUGGGCUACAUCGUACAUUGAUUCUAGUCAAACAAAAAUGUAUCUUGGAGCCUUGAAGCGUUGUUGAGGACAAUGCCAAUGCUCAUACUCUGGGUGGUUUGGUUAGAGAGAAACUACAGAUGUUUUGAGAGCAAAGCAACCACAAAUUUGUGUCUGAAAUUUGAUGUGUGUUCAUUUAUUGAAUUUUUGGUGUAAUUUGGAGUACGUAAUGAACUAGAGUCUAUUUUGAACUUCAGACCAUGAGGUGUGCGGAUUUUGUGGUUAAAGAGCCAAUGGUGAUUGGGCAUGAAUGUGCUGGGAUCAUAGAGGAAGUUGGCGGUGAAGUCAAGACAUUGGUUCCUGGAGAUCGUGUAGCGCUAGAGCCAGGAAUUAGUUGCUGGAGAUGUGAUCUUUGCAAAGAAGGGCGAUAUAAUCUCUGCCCCGAGAUGAAGUUCUUCGCUACUCCCCCUGUUCAUGGUUCUCUCGCAAAUCAGGUAAAAAGCUUACCCACUUCUAUUAAUUUUCUCACGAUUUGACAUUUUGUCUACAUUGAUUUCAUGUAGUCACUCGUGGCAUAUGCCAUGCGACAUGCAUCCUUCGCUGGUUAAUUAAGAUGGAAUAUAUGUCAGUAGUUUUAAAAUCUUGUACCUUUUGGACUUUCGUCGAUUGCAUGAAUGAUAGAAUUGAUAUUGAGCUGGUUUGUCCCUCCGAAUAUACUCGUUAGUGUACUCGAAUUUUCCAUAGGCUUAUUGAACAAGGUCACACAAAAUUACGAACAGAGGCAUUGUGCAGCAUGCAGGGCUUAUCGAGUGAUAAUAAUUUUUGACCUUGCUAAAAGCUAAAACACUGGUGUCUUUUCGAUCACCAACAGGUAGUCCAUCCUGCUGAUCUAUGUUUCAAGCUCCCGGAUAAUAUAAGUUUAGAGGAGGGAGCAAUGUGUGAGCCACUUAGUGUUGGUGUUCAUGCUUGUCGGCGUGCAAAUGUUGGUCCUGAGACAAACAUUUUAGUGCUGGGAGCUGGACCAAUCGGGCUUGUCACACUUCUCGCUGCUCGUGCUUUUGGUGCCCCAAGAAUUGUUAUUGUGGACGUAGAUGACUAUCGUCUUUCAGUUGCAAAGAAGUUAGGAGCAGAUGAGAUCGUCAAGGUUUCAAUCAAUCUUCAGGUGAGGAUCCAAAUUUCAAAGUUAUCGCUGUUAAUCUCCCAUGUUUCAUGUGCACUCUCGAGACUGAAUACAUGAGUUGCUUUCAUGUAUGAUCACUAACUUUGUCCGUUGUAACAAUAAAGUCACAAAACUAUUUUGUCUCAUUAAAAUAACUUAAUCAACUGAACUUUACCGACUAUAACACUAAUAUAAUUAGUGACUUAACCAUUAUAGCGGUAAAUUUCUGUGACAAGAUAGUAUCGUGACUUUAAUAUUAUAGUGAGUAAAGUUCAGUGACCAUUACGUGAAAUUCGCCCGUGAAUAUAAAAACAUCAAAGUUGAAGAUGUUGCCGGUUUUCUUUCCAUUUCCCUGACUGAUACUUUUGAACAGGAUGUAGCUACAGAUAUAGAAAACAUUCAGAAAGCGAUGGGAGGUGGAAUUGAUGUGAGUUUUGACUGUGCUGGCUUUAACAAAACUAUGUCGACCGCCCUUGGUGCAACUCGUCCAGGUGGCAAAGUUUGCUUGGUGGGAAUGGGACAUCAUGAGAUGACCGUUCCUCUCACUCCAGCUGCUGCAAGGUACAACUAUGCAUCAAUCUUACUUGAGUUGAAUUUGGCUAUAUGAAUCCUCACAGAUCAUCUCGCUUUGUUUGAGUUCGUCGUAUACCAAAUAGUAUACGAAAUAAAAAAUAAGUAGUACUAGAAGUCCUUUAUGUUUUUUUACUGGCAUAUAAAUCUCAAACAAGACUAAUAGACUACUAAAAAUCAUAGGAUCUAAAGUUAACAUACUAGCAUGAUUAUAAAAUAUAUUCCCAACUAAUUGGUAUUGCUUAUACCUAUGAUACUCGGACUCUUCAAAAAUGUCACCAAGUGUGUAUCAGAUCCUCCAUAAUAGUGCAUUUUUAAGGAUCCGGCACGAAUGCGACUAUUUUGGUGAGAGUCUGAGUAACAAAGGCUUAUAUAGAUCUUUUCCUGACUAAAUCUGUUGUUACUCUUCACUAACAAUAAGCUUACAGUUUGCAUGUUUCUGUAUCCUUUUUGCCAUUAUAUUAAUUUUCGGGCAAAUUGUGCUCAGGGAGGCGGAGGCCAAUGUCACUGGCUUAUAUCUUUACUUAGAAUGCAUGGCCUUGUAUAUCUCGAGUUCUUGAGAAGUGGAAAGUUAGAUACGAAACCUUCUAAGUUAGAGUCGACUAUCUGAAUCCUCAUUGAUCAUGUCUCUCUAUUUUAGUUCGUCGUAGAUCGAAAUUAUACAGAAUAGCAAAAAUAAUAAUAACAGAAAGCACUAGAAAUUCUCUAUAUUUUCUAGUUGGUAUUGCUCAUAUUGAUCGUUUUUCGAGACGGAGUCUGGGCUCUAUCGGAAACAACCUUACUACUCUACAAAGGUAGUGGUAAGCCCAGCGUACACCCUACCCUCUCCAGACUCCACUUAUGGGAGUAUACUGAGUAUGUUGUUGUUGUUGAUUGUUUUCCCGAUUAAACUUUUGUUACUCUCACACUAAUUUUCUGGGCAAAAUGUGUUCAGGGAGGUCGACAUCAUCGGCAUAUUUCGCUACAAGAAUACAUGGCCAUUGUGUCUUGAGUUCUUAAGAAGUGGAAAGAUUGAUGUGAAACCUAUGAUCACACACAGGUUUGGAUUCUCUCAAAAAGAAGUUGAAGAAGCUUUUGAAACAAGUGCUCGUGGUGGUGAUGCUAUUAAAGUCAUGUUUAAUCUGUAAAAAUAAACUUUUUAAAUUUGAGAAAAUAAGUUUUUACCAAAUGUCUAAAAAAUGUACAUCAUAAAAAGAUGUUUUAUGCUUUUGAAAACUACUAUGUAUUAGUUGAAAAUGUUGAGAAUGGUCAAAUAAAGUAGAUGGUUAACUUAUUUACGUAAUGAACAUUUGAGAACAUGUGCGUUUUUUUUUUCUACCAUGGAAAUAUCAAGUUAUUAGUGUUUAAACAUUUUUUUUCUUUUUUUGGGGUUCAACUUCGAAUAUAUUUGGGCAUAAACUUACGAAAAUUUCUUCUUUCACUUUAAUAUUUUUUUUACCAGAAUUUCUAAAACAACAGAAAAUUGUUUUUUUUUUUUUUUUUAAAAUUCAAAAUGACAAAAAGUUGUUUUCAAUCCAAAUUACUCAUAAAAAUUUAAAAACAACUCUAAUUUAUUUCAUGACCAAACACAAUUAGGCAUUUGUCCAUGUUUCAUUAGGAAAAUAGAAAAAAACAUAAUAUAUAAAUAUGUCUUUUAACUUGGCUUUAUUUCACAUUUAUGCCCUUCAACUUUAGGAUACACAAGUACACACUUAAAUUCGUAUAAAGUUGAACAAAUAGGCACACACGUCCUACGUGACAUCAUACAUGGUAAUUUGUGUCCUACAUGGUAUCCUAAGUGUAUUAUACCACAGAAGACUCAUGUGUCUACUUGUUUAAUCUUAUACAAGUUUAAGUGUAUGUUUGUGCUCAUUAAAAGUUGAAGGGCAUAAAUGUGAAAUGAGACCAAAUUAAAGGACAUAUUUAUGUAUUAAAAUUAUUUUUGUUUUCAAAGUAAAAAUAGUAAUUUCAAAAUCAAAGUCAACAUCUACUUUUUCGACUUAAGUUAAUAAAGUAAUUUAAAUUUAAUAAAAAUAAACACUUUUAGUUAAUCUCCUUUCUCACUUUGAAAACAAAAAUAAUUUUUUUUCCACUUUACCAAGGAGCAUGGUCAAAACGCCUACACACCGUUCAAUUUUACAUUAUUGAUUUGUUGACUCUAGCUAAUUGACACACUAACUUUCGAAUGAUCAAGUCAUAAUGAUCAGAUUAAAAAUUGAUGCUUUUUUGGCCGUGUGAAACGCUUGACAUGAAAGGAGGGCUAUCCAAAAAGUUUUUUUUUCUUCUGAAACCGCAUCACAGAGGAGUAGAGCCGCCGCGACACUUCCUUACUAGAUCUGACUUUCCUCUUUUUUUUCUCCUCCAUCGGAACCUAAAAAAAGAAUCUCUUUAACUAAGAAUGCUCAUUUUUGUCAAACUUAAAGGACUAAACUAAUAAAAAAUAUAGCUAAGGGUCUACUUUAAACCAACACCUAAAUAUAAGGGACCAUUUUUUUUAUUUAAUAGAAGUUGACUCUGAAGUUUUCAUAUAUAGUUCAUCCUAAAACUCACACCACAAAUUAACAAAACACAAAUUAAUUUUAUGUUCUUGAUUUGUUCAAACAAAUCAUAUUUUCUCUUGCAAUGUCUGAUUAUAUUUCUUUUUUUCUUGUAAUAUUUCUUCUUUUUUUCUUUCCAUCACACAAUUUAGCUCAAAAUGAUGGUAGAAUAUCUACUAGUAGUUCUAUUAGUGCAACAAAUGAAAGUACCCCAUGGCUUUCACCAUCUGGUGAUUUUGCAUUUGGUUUCAAAAAAAUUGAAGAAAAUAAAAAUGAGUUCUUGCUUUGUAUAUGGUACGCAAAAAUUCAAGAAAAAACUAUAGUUUGGUAUGCUAAUAUAAGUGAUUUAGUGCCACAAGGAUCAAGAUUGAAUCUUGAUUCUCAAAGUGGUUUAAUACUUAGUGAUCCUCAAGGGAAUACUCUUUGGACAAGUGAUUUGGUUUUCAUUGGUAAUAUUGAUUAUGGAUUGAUGAAUGAUAAUGGGAAUUUUGUUGUAAUGGGAAGUGAUUCUAGUGAUCCAUUAUGGGAAAGUUUUAGAAAUCCAACUAAUACUUUGUUGCCAAAUCAAACAUUGGAAAGAGGAAGCUUCCUUGUUUCUCAAAAGUCGCAAAAUAAGUUCACUCAAGGUACGUACGCGUUCAACUGUGUGACCAACUCAUCUGAUUGUUUUGUUAUGUUAUGUUUCUAACAUGAUAUAUGUAUUCUCUUCUUUUAUUUUUGCGUUGUGGAAGCCGUUUUGUUGUUGGAAUCAUUUUUUUGAAGUAGAUUAUGAGGAUUCAUGAAUAAUUGACUAGUUCUAGUCAUGGUAGUGCAUUUUUUCUUUAGGUCCUGGCUUUCUAGGACGGACACACAAUUGCCAUGUAGGACGUCACAUAUGACGGAUGUGUCUAUUUGUUUAAUUUGAUACGAGUUUAGUGUCGACUUGUGCACAGUCAAAGUUAGAGGCUAUAGAUGUCCGUUGAAGUCGAGUUAAAUGACAUGUUUAUGUGUUAUGCCUAUAUAUGGAGAAACAAACUAAGAUCACUCAAGGUACGUACGCGUUGAGUUGUGUGACCAACUCAUUUGAUUGUUCGAUUAGGUUAUGUUUCACUCAAGGUAUGCGUUGAAUUGCGUAACCAACUCAUAUGAUUGUUUGAUCAUGUUAUGUCUCUAACAUGAUAUAUGAAUUCUUUUUUCUUUUUUUGGAGUUGUGGAAGCCGUUUUGUUGUUGGAAUCCUUUUUUUAAAGAAGAAGAAGAAGUUAAUGGUUGAGGAAGAAAUAAUAGUAGAUUAUGAGGAUUUAUCAAUAAUUGACUAGCUCUAGUCAUGGAAGUGCAUUUUUCGUUAGGUCCUAUGCUUUCUAGGAUGUCACGUAGGACACACAAUUGCCAUGCAAGACACCAGGUAGGACGAAUGUGUCUAUUUGUUCAAUUUUAUACGAGUUUAAGUGUUGACUUGUGCACACUCAAAGUUAGAGGGAAUAGAUGUCAGUUGAAGUUGAGUGAAAUGACCAGUUUAUGUGUUAUGCCUCUAUAUGGAGAAACAUGGUUAGUUAAGAUUCAUACAGCUGACUUCGAAUUGUUUGGAAUUGAAGCGUAGUUGUUAUUGUUAUGUCUUAACACAUAGAUGUCAACUGUUAGAGCUGAGAUUAUGAUUUAAUUAUAUUAUGUCUCGACAGGUAGAUUUUAUCUUCGGAUGCUUGAUAAUGGAAAUUUGGUGCUUGUUACACAAAGUGUGCCUUCGAAUAUGGAUUAUGAUGAUGAGUACUAUAACACUCAAACUUCUGAUCCAACAAAUGCAAUCAAUUCUGGGGAUAAGUUGGUGUUCGAAGAGAAUGGCAUGCUGUAUGUAUUGAAGCGAAACAAUGAAACACAAAUUCUUACUCCGCGAUCCAAUCAUUUAGGUUCGGACAAUUAUCAUCGUGUGACACUUAACUUUGAUGGAGUUCUUAGUCAUUAUUAUCAUUCAAGGAUUUUGAAUAGCAGUGGCUGGAAUAUUCUGUGGUCUCAACCGGAUAAUAUAUGCAUCAAAAUUGAUGGAGACAACGGACCUGGUUCUUGUGGUUACAACAAUGUAUGCAGUCUUGGUUCAAACAACAGACCAGUUUGUAACUGUCCUAAAGGAUAUUCGUUGGUUGAUCCGAACGAUGCUUAUGGUGACUGCAAACCAGAUUUUUCUAUAAGUUGUGAUGAAGUUGGGAGGGGUUCACCUGAUGAUUUAUACAGUUUUAUCACGAUUCGUAAUACUGAUUGGCCGAAAUCAGAUUUUCAGAAAAUUAGCCCUUCUACUGAACAAGACUGCCAAAAUGCUUGUUUGAAUGAUUGCUUUUGUGCUGUUGCCAUUUAUAGAAGCAAUAGUUGCUGGAAAAAGAAACUGCCCUUGUCGAACGGGAGAAUAGACACCAGUUUGAACGCCAAAGCUUUUAUCAAAUUGAGAAAAGAUGGUGUUCUAAGGCCUCUAAGUCCUCCAAGUCCUGGCUUUCCAAUUCCGGAAUCUCAUCAAAAGCAGAGUUGGCGGAUUUUGGCAAUUUUGGCGUCCUCGCUCUUAGGUAGCUCCAUUAUGGUAAAUGUUCUUCUCAUUGGUGUAUUAUGUUGGGGAUUCUUCCACAUUUAUAAAAAGAAAGUGAACGUAUUUUGCCCUACAAGUCACGUGACGGACACUGUCUGUCAUAGUUUUACGUAUAAAGAUCUUGUAGUAGCCACGAAAGAGUUCAACGAAGAGCUAGGCAGGGGUGCAUUUGGGAUUGUUUACAAAGGUGUAAUGUCUAUCGGUUCAAGAAACGUAGUCGCUAUAAAGAAGCUGGAUAGAGUCGCUCAUGAGGCAGAGAAAGAUUUCAUGACUGAAGUAAAUGUGAUUAGUCAGACUCAUCACAAGAAUUUGGUCCGCCUGAUUGGAUAUUGUAACGAGGGACCUCAUCGUUUGUUGGUUUACGAGUAUAUGAGUAAUGGCACUCUUGCAAGUUUCAUUUUUGGUGAUCUGAAACCUACUUGGAGUCAGAGGACAAGUAUCGCGAUGGGGAUUGCAAGGGGACUUGCAUACCUCCACGAAGAGUGCAGUACACAGAUUAUCCAUUGUGACAUAAAGCCUCAGAACAUUCUCCUUGAUGACUAUCACGUUGCUCGAAUAUCAGAUUUUGGAGUGUCUAAGCUGUUGAUGAUCAAUCAGAGUCGAACGGAUACUAAUAUUAGAGGAACAAGAGGUUAUGUUGCUCCGGAGUGGUUCAGACAUAGUCCAGUCACGGUUAAGGUGGACGUUUACAGCUUUGGUAUACUACUACUAGAGAUCAUCACAUGCCGGAAAUGUUUGGAGAAUGAGGAAAGCUAUGGACUGGAGGCGAUUCUUGUGGAUUGGGUUGUUGAUUGUUUUCAACAAGGAAACUUGGAAGCUUUGGUGAGAAGUGAUAUCGAGGCCUUGAAUGACAAGAAGCAGCUCGAGAGGUUCGUGAUGGUUGGUAUUUGGUGCGUUCAGGAGGAUCCGUUAACGAGGCCUACUAUGAGGAAGGUCUGUCAAAUGCUUGAAGGAUCUGUUGAAGUGACAAUUCCACCAUGUUCAUGUAAUUUUAGCACAACUAUUUAACAUCAUAUGCCUCAUUUACGCGCGAUUUCCUCCUCUGUAUAGUACUUUUGAGUGGUCUAGUUGUAUUACUUUCUUUAAUGUUGAGUUCACUUUAAUAGUACUAAUGAUCUGUAUUGCUCAGACUCUUCAAAAAUGUCAUCGGGUGCAGCUCUUCACAUUUCCAUCUGCAUUUACUAGUGAUGAAAUUGUAAUUGAGACAUUAACAAACAGUUUUUGGGGCAUUUUGUUUUAAAUAACGAAGAAAUCUCCUGGGAACAGUCUCUCUACCAUCACAAGGUAGGGAUAAGCCUGCAUACACAUCACUUUUUCCGAACCCCAAUGGGGUACGUGGGGUAUAUUUUUGUUGUUGUUGUUGUUGUUGUAACCGAGAAAUCUCCCAUUGGUUAGUUGCCUCAACCCCAGUGGGCCCACAAGUUUGAAUUAUUAUUUUUUUCACGGGAGGGGAGGGGGAAUAUGGUCCGUUUCUCUAUCCUGCUCCCACUUAAAUACCACUUGUCAUGUUGGUGACAUAGUUUGAACCACAUAUCUCUCGUUGAACCAAAGUCCGGAGGCAAUAAUUUUUAGGCAUUUUAGUAAGACCUCUCCAUCUUUUACUAGAGAUCUCGAGUUCAGGGAAAAAACUCUUAAUAUAGAACACUUCUCCUUCAAAUACAUCCUAUGUGGUACAAAUCCAAAUUAGUUAGACCAAUGUAUGUAUCUCAGUCAGAUAGUUAGACCAAUAAAAAAUAGAUACAUAAAGCCAUAGAUGGCUAUAGCUUAUUAGCUAGUUUCAAUGGACCAAGACCAAAAAAAAAAAAUUCUUUUUAAAAAAAUGUGACAUUAAUUAACUUUAUUUGAUGGUUCUAGAUGUAACUUGGAAAUCCAAAUUAUUUUAAUCUAUAUGUUUCUAUCCACAAGUAAAAAAAUUCUGUACACUAUUCUUUCCCAUUAUCUGAAUUUUUUUACUACAAAGUUCGAAUAAUAUGUCUUUUCAAGGCUAUUGCCGAACUCAGUUGAAAUGUCAAUAAAGUCAAAUUUCUCGAGUUUAAUUUUUCCUUAAAUAUUUUUUUUUUAAUAUUAUAGAUAAAAUAUUAUAUUAUCGUCUAACGUUUAUCUCACAUAAAAUUCUCAAUUUGCUCAUAAAAAAUCUUUAAAUCAUGGCCUAAAAGUACAGAAGUUGCCAGAGAAAUAAAAAGAGAAUCGUUUACUAAACAAUUGUCUUAAUAAAACAAGUGGAUGGCCAUGAUAUUUUUCUAUUAAUUAAGCUCCUUGUAGAUUGAAAAUUCCUAGGUUGUCAUUCAAGAUUUUGGGUCUUAAAUUCAAAACCAUCAAUCAUAUAAUAAGUGUAAAAGUAUUGACUAUCCAAUUAUUGAAUUCCACUUGUGACUUCAAUAACAAACCAAAAUUUCUUUCAUUAAAAGACUUUAAAAUGUGUUUGACUAAGCUUAUAAAUCGGUCAAAUAAGCUUAUAAACAUUAUUUGUAGCUUAUCUACACAUUUAAAGUCUGUUUGAAUUAGCUGAUUAAAACAUCAAAUGUUGACAAACACCUCUAGGUGUGCGAGAUAGAAGUGUUGAAACUGAUAUUAAAUAGUUACGUGUUUCAUAAAAAGAUUAGGCAUAAUACAUUAAUAUCAUAGAAUUUUCGAUGCUACCAACCAUAGAAUGAAAUAAACGUUUAAUACUAACUAUGUCAUUUUUCUAACUGGUCCCAAUUCCAAAAAUCAUCCUCUAGAAAUCCACCAAAUUUAUUCUUGGCCUUUAAGAACAUAGCCAAAAUUUUUUUUAACAUAAAUUCAAAUUAAAAUAUGUCACAUGCAAAAUAUUACAAGAAAAAAAAAAUAUCUUUAUGAUCUGUAACUAUAUCUACCUAAACACAACAUGUGGAUCUAAAUCUAUGCAAAGAUUUUUUUUGCUUAAUAAUUGAUGCUCGAAAUAUUAUCGUGCUUAAAAAAUAUAAGUGGUUCAAAAUAAUUAUAACUUUUUAAAAUUAAAAUAUAAUUGAUUAUUGCUUUUCACUUUCUUCUUUACUCAAUAAAACAUGAAGACAAUUAAUAUGGUAAAAAAGAAUGUAGCAUCAAAUUGAGACCAGAUAAUAAAUAAAGAUAAUUUAAUCAAAUUACUUUUUUAAUUAAUAUUUUCUCAAGAGUUGUAGAGAAAAUGACAUAAAUAGUCCCUUAAUUAUAGGAGUAGGUCUAAAAUGGUCUCUUAACUAUAUACUUAAUGAAUUUAGUCUUUUAACUAUUAAAAAACUUAUUAGUUUUGGUCCCUUAACUAUACAAUUACCGGUUUUAGCCCAUUAACUAUAAACUUACCGAUUUUAGUCCUUUAAAUAUUUUAAAACUUAUCAGGUUUGUUCUUUGUCCAUUUUUUAAAUACAAAUAGCUUAGGUUUAUAUAUUAACCGAUAUCUUCGUAAAAUUAAAUCUUUAACCCAUUUUAAAGUUGUUUCUCUAUCCCCGGUCUUUUUUCUUCAAACUAUUCUUUUGAAAAGAACAAUAACGUCAACGAUUCAAAGUAAAAUUAAUGAGGGAAGAAGAUAUAAGUCCUAAUUUUAUUCAAUGGAGGAUAAAGUUAAGCAUAUAAUUGUUGUUGAUGACUUGAAUCCGCACUUGAAUAUGCUAAUCAGUGCGGAUUUUAUUUAAUUUACUCAAAUUUCUUUAUGUAAAAUAAAAUGAAUAGAAUAAUAAAAUUGAUCUACCUUUUUAUAAAUUUCAAUUUCUAAAAAAUUAAACAAAUUUCGUUCAAUGAAGUCGUUCGAGUACAAACAUUGGAUUUAAUGAGUAAUAAUUUUUAAUUUUUUUCUUUUUAGAAUAAAAUUUAGCAUAUUCAAGUCAUUAGUAGCAAUAAUAUGCUUCGUUUUAUCCUCUGUUGAAUAAAAUUAUGACUUAUAUUUUCUUUCCUCGUAAAUUUUAUUUUAAAUCGUUGAGGUUAAUGUUUUUCGCAUAAGAUUAAUUUGAAAAAAAAAUAGCGGACAAAGAGAAACAACAGAAAAAGUUGCUAAAUAAUUUAAUCUUUUGAUCGAGAUAUGAAUUCCGUUAAUAUAAAACUAAGCUAUUUGUCCCAUCAUUGGUGAUUCCAUUUUACCUACUUCUCAUUACAUGUUACAAAACAAUAGUGACAUUUUAUACUUAAGACUAAUUAACCAAGAACUUAUUUAAGUGUUUCAUAAUUUACUAUUGACAAUACUAUUUAGUGUGAUUUAUUCUGAUGUAUGGGCAUUAGUGCUAAAAAAUCUUUAAAAUUAUGGGCAUAAACAAAAUAGUAUUGUUGAAAGAAAAUAUCGUCAUAUAGUUGAAACAUGACUCAAAGUAAUAGUAAUAGUAAUAAUAAUUCUCAAUACUACUACUACUACUACUACUAAUAAUAAUAAUAAUAAUAAUAAUGAAGCUAUAAUGAUAAUAACGAUCACAAACUAAUACUGAUCGAUAUUGAGGGUGGUUGUGACGCUUCCUGUUGAGUAUAGUACACAAUUUAGAAUUGAAGUUCGUUUACACAAUAUAAGAAAGACAAUUCUAAAGAAUGAGAUUAAACAGCUUUUUUAGAUUUCAUUAAUGUUGUUUGUUGAUUUUUGAAAAAAGGGGCGGAGAUUGAAGAAGCGAAGCAAACCUAGAAUAGCAGUCUCUUACGUUUUUUCAAGCUCCUUUGAGAUCUUAUUAGUUAAGCACUAGCGCCCCUUUAGAGUAAUGAAGCUAUAAUAAUACUCCCUUCAUCCCAUUUUAUAUGUCACAUUUUUACUUUGCAUUUGCAUUAAAAAAUGAUGUAACUUUAGACAAGAUUAAUUAACUAUUCUAUCAGGGGUAUAAUAGACAAAACAUGGUAAUUUAUGUAUAAAUUUUAUAAAAUGACAAGUAGCUUUGUUUAAGUUUGUCGUAUACCAAUGUUAUACAAAAUAAAAAAUAAGUAGUACUAGAAGUCCUUUAUGUUUUUUGCUGGCAUAUAAAUCUCAAACCAGACUAAUAGACUACUAGAAAACAUAGGAUCCAAAGUAAACUUACUUGCAUGAUUAAAAUAUAUUCCCAACUUACUAGCAUUGCUUAUACCUAACUUUAUGAUACUCGGACUCUUCAAAAAUGUCACCAAGUGUGUAUCAGAUCCUCCAUAAUAGUGCAUUUUUAAGGAUCCGGCACGAAUACGACUAUUUUGUUGAGAGUCCGAGUAACAAAGGCUUAUAUAGAUCUUUUCCCGACUAAAUCUUUUGCUACUCUUCACUAACGAUAAGCUUACGGUUCGCAUGUUUCUGUAUCCUUUUUGCCAUUAUAUUAAUUUUCGGGCAAAUUGUGCUCAGGGAGACCGAUGUCAUCGGCUUAUAUCUUUACUUAGAAUGCACUGCCUCGUAUAUCUCGAGUUCUUGAGAAGUGGAAAGUUAGAUAUGAAACCUUCUAAGUUAGAGUCGACUAUCUGAAUCCUCAUUGAUCAUAUCUCUCUAUUUUAGUUCGUCGUAGACCGAAAUUAUACAGAAUAGCAAAAAUAAUAAUAGCAGAAAGCACUAGAAAUUCUCUAUAUUUUCUAGUUGGUAUUGCUCAUAUUGAUCGUUUUUCGAGACGAAGUCGGGGAUAUAUCGGAAACAACCUUACUACUCUACAAAGGUAGAGGUAAGCCCAGCGUACACCCUACCCUCUCCAGACUCCACUUAUGGGAGUAUACUGAGUAUUUCCCGAUUAAACUUUUGUUACUCUCACACUAAUUUUCUGGGGAAAAUGUGUUCAGGGAGGUCGACGUCAUCGGCAUAUUUCGCUACAAGAAUACAUGGCCAUUGUGUCUUGAGUUCUUUAGAAGUGGAAAGAUUGAUGUGAAACCUUUGAUCACACACAGGUUUGGAUUCUCUCAAAAAGAAGUUGAAGAAGCUUUUGAAACAAGUGUUCGUGGUGGUGAUGCUAUUAAAGUCAUGUUUAAUCUGUACUAACUUCACUUGAAUUGAAAUUAUGAAUUCAAGGUGUUUGAUCACAUGUUAUGGAGGGAUUCUUGAUGUUUAGACGUACUUUGGAGUGUCGGAAACAACUAUGAAACAUAGGUAUAAUACCUAGGA
Molecule: long non-coding RNA, 64329 nt
Filed under: Solanum tuberosum (potato)
Lineage: Eukaryota; Viridiplantae; Streptophyta; Magnoliopsida; Solanales; Solanaceae
Source: RNAcentral